Molecule: long non-coding RNA, 53777 nt
Filed under: Triticum aestivum (bread wheat)
Lineage: Eukaryota; Viridiplantae; Streptophyta; Magnoliopsida; Poales; Poaceae
Description: long non-coding RNA (TAES_LNC016379)
Source: RNAcentral
UGCUUCUCUCGUUAGCUUCGGUUUCGUUCCGGAGUUGUGAGGAUUCGUUCGACUACGUCCGUUUGUCUUCUUCAUGGAAUCGUUCUUCUUCCUUGCGGGAUUUCAGGCAAGAUGAUCAUACCCUCGAAAUCACUACUAUCUUUGCUAUGCUAGUUUGCUCACUCUUUUGCUAUGCCAAUGCUAUGAUGCCUACCAUUUGCUUGUCAGCCUCCCAAAAUGCCAUGAACCUCUAACCUUUGACACCAUUCCUAGCAAACCGUUGUUUGGCUAUGUUACCGCUUUGCUCAGCCCCUCUUAUAGCGUUGUUAGUUGCAGGUGAAGAUUGAAGUUUGUUCCUUGUUGGAACAUGGAGAUGUUGUUCCUUGUUGGAACAUGUUUACUUGUUGGGAUAUCACAAUAUCUCUUAUUUAAUUAAUGCAUCUAUAUACUUGGUAAAGGGUGGAAGGCUCGGCCUUAUGCCUGGUGUUUUGUUCCACUCUUGCCGCCCUAGUUUCCGUCAUACCGGUGUUAUGUUCCCGGAUUUUGCGUUCCUUACGCGGUCGGGUGAUUUAUGGGACCCCCCUAACAGUUCGCCUUGAAUAAAACUUGCCCAGCAAGGCCCAACCUUGGUUUUACCAUUUGCCUCACCUAGCCCUUUUUCCCUUGGGUUUCCGGAGCCCAAGGGUCAUCUUUAUUUACCCCCCCCCCCCCGGGCCAGUGCUCGUUGUGAGUGUUGGUCCAAACCGUCAACCGCCGGUGGCCACCAGGGGCAAUUCUGGGCUGGCCUACCGGAAGUUUGGACAAUUCGGUGUGCCCUGAGAACGAUAUAUGUGCAGCUCCUAUCAGGAUUUGUCGGCACAUUCGGGCGGCUUUGCUGGUCUUGUUUUACCAUUGUCGAAAUGUCUUGAUGUACCGGGAUUCCGAGACUGAUCGGAGUGUCUCGGGUGAAGGUCUAUUCCUUCGUUGAUCGCGAGAGCUUGUCAUAAGCUAAGUUGGGACACCCCUGCAGGGUAUAAAAUUUCGAGAGCCGUGCCCGCGGUUAUGUGGCAUAUGGGAAUUUGUUAAUGUCCGGUUGUAGAAAACCCGAAGUUGACCUUAAUUAAAAUACAUCAACCGUGUGUGUAACCAUGAUGGUCUCUUUCCGGCAGAGUCCGGGAAGUGAACACGGUGUUGGAGUUAUGCUUGACGUAGGUUGCUAUAGGAUCACUUCUUGAUCAUACUUUUAUCGACCGUGCUUUGCCUUCUCUUCUCGCUCUCAUUUGCGUAUGUUGGCCACCAUAUAUGCUAGUCGCUUGCUGCAGCUCCACCUCAUGCCUUUACCUUACCCAUAAGCUUAAAUAGUCUUGAUCUCGCGGGUGCGAGAUUGCUGAGUCCCCGUGGCUCACCAGAUACUUCCAAAACCAGUUUGCAGGUGCCUAUGUUACCGAGCAGGUGACGCAACCAAGCUCAAGGAGGAGCUCGAUGAAGAUCUUGCCCUUUGUGUUGUUUCGUUCUAGUUGAUCAGUAGUGGAGCCCAGUUGGGGUCGAUCGGGGACCUUUGUCGCAUUUGGGGUUCUUCUUUUAUUUUGGUUCCGUAGUCGGACCUUGAUUGUAUCUGGAUGAUGUAAUGCUUUAUUCAUGUAAUUGUGUGAAGUGGCGAUUGUAAGCCAACUAUGUAUCUUUUUCCCUUAUGUAUUACAUGGGUUGUGUGAAGAUUACCUCACUUGCGACAUUGCUUUCAAUGCGGUUAUGCCUCUAAGUCGUGCUUCGACACGUGGGAGAUAUAGCCGCAUCGAGGGCGUUACAGGGGAGGUAGCUAGGCUCACGGUGGUCCCAGUAGAGCAGACGGCGAGGUCAGGGACGAGCUGCUGCGGCGGUGACGGCAAAAGGGAUCUCCGGCGACGGUCGGUGAGGAUGGGGUCGGUGAAGGCGGUGCAGAGCGUGCGACCGCACUAGGCUUGGCUAGCUCGACGAAGCGGAUGACGGUGGGGCUCGUGAACACGGUGGAGCGGCGUGAGGACGACGGUGGGCACGGCUACAGCGGCGGUGCGGCGGCAGCUGCUUUGGCCAUGGCGGGAGAGAGCGAGAGAGAGGACGGGGGGAGAAUGAGGUGUCCAGGGGCUCGGGGCGGCGCCGAGGAGGCCCUUCGAGGCGUCGCGCUGGCGCGGGCAACGAAGGCAGGCAGGGAGGUGGCGUGGCGAGCUCGGCGGCGUCGCGGUGUCCCUCCUCUGCCUACUGGCAGAGGUGGGUGGUGACUGGCACGGGCCAGGUGGGCCGGCCUAGUGCAGGUAAGUGGCCAGUGGCCUUUCUCUCUCUCUUUUGUCAUUUAAUUUUUUUUCUAUUUUUCUGUAAAUGUUUGGCAUUAUUAAUUAGGGGCUUUGUUUAGAUUAUUUCCAACAGCCCACACUUAUUUCCAGAAUUAUUUGAGAAUUUAAAAUAUUUUAUAUUGUUUAAAUGCCCACACUCAAAUAGCUAAUGACUUAAUCCAGUGACCUUAUGUGUCCUAGAAAAAUGUGAACCAAUUUUGGCAGAGGUUCUAACCCAAGACAAAAAUGAUGGACAUUUUAGAGGGGCAUUUCAGGUUCAUUGAAAAUAUUUUUAGUAAACCCUAGUUGGUUUUAGAGGGGGAUGGGGGUUCUGUCAUCCCCAUUUCAAGUUUCUGAUGAAAGGAAAACAUGAUGCAACACUCUAAUGCAUGAACUAGCUAGGGUGUGACACUCGUCCACCUCCAUCUUGGCCUCCGCCAGCGUGCUCUUGAGGGCUUCGACCUCAAACAUAUCAACUAUGAGCAUAAUCAUAAAGCUCAGUUGGAUAACAAAUUGGAAUUCUUAUCAUUUCAAGAUACAUUUCGGCAUCGCAUACCUUGCUUUUCCUCCAACUUCCGCUUUAGUUCAGACAGUUUGGCGGCAUGCAAAGUUGACGCUCGCAUUGAAGCCUGUGCAUCAAAAUAAGCAUAUAUAUUAGCUCCGGCAAUGCAUUAUUCGAUCCCUUAUUCGGCCUUCCUUCACGAAUGCCGAACAGAGUCUCAGGGUCUACUAUCUAUAUACAGGUCUUCCUUUUGCAAAUAACCAAAAAUAUAUUACGUCACAUACCUCAAAGCCUGUUAGAAGGCUGGUAUAGGCUUGGUUCAAUCUGCUCUUAGCGGACCGAACCUUUUCAACCACCGUACCCAUAAGGGUAUAGUGUUCCUCCACAAUGGAAGCACUUUGAAGCGCUUCCACCAGAGUGUCUGGUGCCUCCGGAUUGAUAGAGGACGCCAGUGGAGACGGCGCGCCCCCUUCCUUCCAAGAAGGCUACUGGUCUGAUUCCGGGGCCGUAUGGGUGUCACAUCCCUGGUCCUGGUAUGCAGUAGGCUAGCCCUUCAUGUGUGCAUCAUGUUUAACUUUUCAAAUGAACUUAAAAUGGGGGCUGAUCAAACCAUAGCACCAGAUCAAAUCAAAUAGGUUCAACAUAAAAUCAUUUUCAAUGAACCUGAAAUGCCCUUCUAAAAUGUUCAUCAUCUUUGCCUUGGUCUUAAACCUCUGACAAAAAUGGUGCACAAUUUUCUAGGUCAUCCUAAGGUCACUGAAUUAAAUCAUAAGUAUUCGAAUUUGGACAUUUAAAUUCUAUAAAAUAUUUUAAAUGUCCAAGUACUCCUAAACUAAAAUUUUCCAUGUUGGAUAUAUUCUAUACAGUGGACAUGUGCAGUUUAGUGAUUUUUAAAGGGUCUAGGUAUUUUUAGAAAAGCCCUAAAGAUUACAGAAUAAUAGAAAAUUGAAAGUGCAACUAUCCCUAGGUGGUUUUGGUAAUUCAUAACAACAUAUAGCUGAUUGAGCUAAUGCUAUUCCAAGACUAUUAUUUCAGGAAAGCUCAAUGAAUGGCAUGGCAUGGAUGAUGAAAGUGGAUCCCUCAAAAUACUAAGGACAAAGGAUUGGCUCAAGCUCAAAAGCUCAAGACUCUUCAUUUUAUAUUUUACUGAUCCAAGAUCACAUUGAGUCUAUAGGAAAAGCCAAUACUAUCAAGGAGGGAUGAGGUGUUGCUUAAUGAGCCUCUUGCUUCAUGUGCUUUGUGAUAUGCUCCAAAACCCUCAACUACUUUCCCACAUCCACGAAUGACCUAAACCCAAAGCCAAAAUCGGUCACACUGAUUCUUCCUAUCCGGCGCCACCGAUUCCAAAAGUCAUAGCCACUGCCACAAACCCUAAGCAAAUCGGUCUUACCAAUAGGGAUCUCGGUCUCACCGAGAUGGGGUUGUAAUCUCUCUAUUUCCCUUCGUAACAUUUCGGUCUAAACGAAGUGAGCGAUCGGUCCUACCGAGAUUGCAAUGUAAACUCUCUGUUUCCUUUUUGUAACAUUUCGGUCUCACCGAAAAGAGAAAAUCGGUCCCACCGAGUUUACCUGACCAACUCUCUGGAAAGCUUAUUACCAAAUCGGUCUCACCGAGUUUGUGUAAUGGGUCUUACCGAGAUUACGUUAUGCCCUAACCCUAACAGAAUCGGUCUCACCGAGAUGCAUGUCAGUCCCACCGAACAUUACUAACGGUCACUAGGUUUACUAAAUCGGUCCGACCGAGUUUAAUGAUUCGGUCCCACCGAGUUUGGUAAAUUGUGUGUAAUGGUUAGAUUUUGUGUGGAGGCUAUAUAUACCCCUCCACCUCCUCUUCAUUCGUGGAGAGAGCCAUUAGAACGAACCUACACUUCCAACUUACCAUUUCUAAGAGAGAACCACCUACUCAUGUGUUGAGACCAAGAUAUUCCAUUCCUACCAUAUGAAUCUUGAUCUCUAGCCUUCUCAAGUUGCUUUCCACUCAAAUCUUCUUUCCACCAGAUCCAAAACCUAUGAGAGAGAGUUGUGUGUUGGGGAGACUAUCAUUUGAAGCACAAGAGCAAGGAGUUCAUCAUCAACGCACCAUUUGUUACUUCUCGGAGAGUGGUAUCUCCUAGAUUGGCUAGGUGUCACUUGGGAGCCUCCGACAAGAUUGUGGAGUUGAACCAAGGAGUUUGUAUGGGCAAGGAGAUCGCCUACUUCGUGAAGAUCUACUGCUAGUGAGGCAAGUCCUUCGUGGGCUAUGGCCAUGGUGGGAUAGACAAGGUUGCUACUUCGUGGACCCUUUGUGGGUGGAGCCCUCCGUGGACUCGCGCAGCCGUUACCCUUCAUGGGUUGAAGUCUCCAUCAACGUGGAUGUACGAUAGCACCACCUAUCGGAACCACGCCAAAAACAUCCGUGUCUCCAAUUGUGUUUGAAUCCUCCAAACUCUUCCCUUUACUUUCUUGCAAGUUGCAUGCUUUAAUUUCCGCUGCCUAUAUACUCUUUGCAUGCUUGCUUGAAUUGUGUGAUGAUUGCUUGACUUGUCCUAAAGUAGCUAAAAUCUGUCAAACUCUAAAAUUGGGAAAAGGCUAAGUUUUUAUUGGUCAAGUAGUCUAAUCACCCCCCUCUAGACGUACUUCAAGGUCCUACAAGUGGUAUCAGAGCCAGGUUUCCAUUUGCUUUGAUUUCCAUAGCUUUUGGUGGUCAUAGCCUUGGUUUCAUGACCUAGGAGAGUAUGGCGUCUAGCGAGGGAAUUUAUCACCGUAGAGGUCCUUACUUUGAUGGUACUAAUUUUGCUACUUGGAAGCAUAAGAUGAAAAUGCAUAUUCUUGGACAUAACCCCGCCAUUUGGGCAAUUAUUUGUACUGGCUUGCAAGGUGAAUUUUUCUAUGGGAGAGAACCGAACCGUGAAGCUAAUGCGGAAGAACUAAAGAUGCUGCAAUACAACGCUCAAGCAUGCGAUAUCAUCUUCAACGGAUUGUGCCCCGAAGAAUUCAACAAAAUCAGCCGUCUUGAGAAUGCAAAGGAAAUUUGGGAUACUUUGAUUGAUAUGCAUGAAGGUAUCGAGUCCGUCAAGGAAUCCAAGUUGGAUGUGCUCCAAAGUCAGCUUGAUAAGUUCAAAAUGAAGGAUGGUGAAGGUGUCGCUAAAUUGUACUCUAGGCUUGCUCUUAUCACAAAUGAGAUUGCCGGCUUAGGGAGUGAAGAGAUGACCGACAAAUUCAUCAUCGAGAAAAUCCUAAGAGCAUUGGAUGGAAAGUAUGAUACCAUGUGCACGUUGAUUCAAAUGAUGCCAAACUACAAAGAUCUCAAGCCAACAAAAGUCAUUGGAAGAAUUGUUGCUCAUGAGAUGUCACUCAAGGAUAAGGAGGAACUUCACAACAAGUCAAGUGGUGCUUACAAAGCCUCAAGUGAAGCCCCCACAUCAUCAAGUGAGAAACAAACCUUCAAUGAAGAAUUGAGCUUAAUGGUGAAGAACUUCAACAAAUUCUACAAGAGUAGAAGCAAAGAAAGAAGCUCCAAGUCAAGGUCUUACAAUGACAAGAGAUCUUCUAGUCGUGAGCGCAAUUGCUACAAUUGUGGGAGACCCGGACACCAUUCCAAUGAGUGUACGGCACCCUACAAAAGAAGAGAAGAUUCUCCAAGAAGAAGAAGCAAAAGAGAAGAAUCACUACCAAGAGAGAGGAGGAGUAGAGAUGAUCAUUAUGAACGAAGACCCUCACGGAGAAGCAAGGAUUCAGAAAGGAAGGACAAGUCAUCAAGGAGCUACACAAAACGAAGACAUAAAGCUCAUGUUGGUGAAUGGGUUUCCGGCUCCGACUCUGACAAUCACUCUGAGAGAAGCUAUCACUCCGACUCCGAAUAUACUCAAGAUGAAGGUGUUGCCGGUCUAGCACUUGUGUCAACCAACUCCUACAACAUAUUUGAUUCACCAAAUGAAGGUGUUGGAAGAUGCUUCAUGGCCAAAGGUCCAAAGGUAACACAUCCUGAGUAUGUUGAUUUCAAUAGUGAUGAAGAUGACUUGCUUGUGGAUGAUGAUUUACUUGUUGACAACUCUCGUGAUGAAUACUAUGAUGAAACGUUAAUUAAUCAUGCUAAUCAAGAGAAAAUGAAUGACAAUGAUAAGGAGAAGAUUGAGCUUCUAACUAAAGAACUAAACACUCUUAAGUUGGCUCAUGAAACUAUGUUCGAAGAUCAUCAAGAAAUUUUAAGGGCUCCUGAGAAGUUACGCUUUGAAAAGCUCAAUCUUAAGCAAGAGCAUGAGUUCUUAAAAGCAAUCAAUGAUGAUCUCCGCAAGAAGAGUUCUUCUUAUAUUUCCAAGCGUUUACUCUUAUCUACUUACAUGCCUCAAGUCAAGUCUAGUAACAAGUACAAGAAAGAUACUUCCUCUAGUAGUAACAAUAAUAAUAAUGUCAAAUCCAAUAUUGUUGCUUCUAGUAGUUCUCUUGAUUCCACUAAUGAUUCUCUUAGCCAAGUUACACUUGAGCAAGAAAAUAGCUUAUUGAAGGGAAUUAUAGAGAAGGGAGUUUACAAGAGCCUUGCCGGGAGUAAGCAAUUCGAGGAAAUUGUACGCAAGCAAGGAAGGCACCGGAAGAAUCAAGGUGUUGGUUUUGAAUGAAAGUUCAAUGCCAAUGGAGUUGAGUGGGAAGAAGAUCAAUACCCCAAGACAAAUUUUGUUCCUCAACAAGAGAGGUAUGAUCCUACUUCCUUCAAGGGAACAUAAGCUCAAGACGAUCUUCCACCACAAGACCACAAGAACAAAGGCAAGUACAAGCUUCAAGAAGAGAUUGAUGCAUUUGAAGAAGCACCUAAAGCCUCGUUCAAGUGGGUUCCCAAGACUACAUCAAGUUCUACUUUGUCAAGUACAACUACAACUCCAAGGAUUCCCAUCAAGAUGAUGUGGAUCCCGAAGAAGAAGAACUAGAGAGUUCUUGAGGGUGACUCCGCCAACAUUCUUCACUCAUAUCAUUAUGGCAAGAACAAGUGCAAUCAACUUCCACAUCUUGCACUAGUUCAAGGAGUCACAAACCCUCAUGUUGGUAAGGCAAGGGGCAAGGUAACCUAAUCAUUUCAUGGACAUCAUCUUGUGUGUGCAUCACUCUAUGUCUAUGGAUAUUCUUGUUUGUUCCUUGUGGGACUAACCCAUGUAGGUAAGUUGAAAGUGCAACUCACUCCAAAGGAUUGCUCCAAAUGAUCUACAUCAACAUUGAGCAUCUACAUCUUCAACACCUACAUGAAGUCAUCAUCGACAAAACCCAAGGUUAGUUCAUCCCUCUAAGGGGGGAUCUCACAUCUAGGGGGAGCUUAACUCUAAGAAUUGAGUCAAAGCAACCCUAAUGGUGUGAACACAUCAAUGCAUUAUGUAAAAGUGGUAACCCCACUUGAGCUUAAACAAUGAGUAUGACCUAUGAUCAGAUGUUCUCAUUUGACUCCUAAGUCAAUAUACUCAUAUAUAGAUGACCUAGUCAUCGCCAAUUGCUUGAUAGAUGCUAGUAUUGGUCGUGCAUGCUUUGCCACAUAUUUCAUUUGCCAUCUUAUUGUGUGAGCAUGUUGGUGCAUAUUUUAGUCAUUCAAAGACAUCCACUUGUUGUUUUGAUUGUUUGGUUUCUUUUCUUUUUGCCAAGUGGAUGGACAAGAAUGCCUAAGAACCUUCUUUAGCUAUCUAUGCUUUUCUCAUCUCAAACUCUAUUCAUGCUUCAUCACAAAAUUUGAUCAAGUCAGAUUUGAACCACUCUGUGUGAGGAGCACUCGGAGUCCCCGAUUCGUCAUAGACUUAAACUUCCAAAACCUCUUUGUGACUCUCGGUCUGACCGAUUCCUCCAUUUCGGUCCUACCAAGAUCAUCAAGUUGAUCUGAGUUUUCAAUCUUGGUGCAACCGAUUUGAACUUUUCGGUCACAUCGAUUUGCUGUAACUGUACACAGUUAUGCAUCUCGGUGCCACCGAGUUGUUCCACUCGGUCACACCGACAGGGUCAGGCUGUAUAUAGCCACGGGCAAAAUUUUGGAAAUUUCUCCAAAACCCUUUGCCCGCGCAAUAGCUCGCUCUGCCAUCCGAGGUCUCCGGAUCGUCUCCUCGUCGCCAGCAGCCUCCUGUCGCUGGUCUCCGCCGCCGUCAACGGAUUUCGUCCCCGCCGUUGCCUCCGUAGCGAGUCCACCACCAAGUUAGGGUAUGGACUCAAUCUUUGUGCUAUCCACGUCUGAUUCCUAGCAAAUUGUAUUCUUAUUGAUUCUUGCCACGAUUGAGACUCUUCUAUCCAGCCAAAGUAAUCCAUAGAUUAGAUGAGAUUCAAAUUUUUAGGGUUAGGUUUCCACCGAAACCAUCUCGGACCCACCGAGUUGAAAAACUCGGUCUCACCGAUUUGGCUUAUGUCAUUGCACUAGUGACUCUCGGUCUGACCGAGAAUUACUAAUCGGUGCAACCGAUUUAAGGAUUUUGUGAAACCCUAGCAGUCUCGGUGCCACCGAACUGAGACUCGGUCAAUUCGAGAUCAUCAAUUUAGGUUCCAAAACUGCUUCGGUAUCACCGAGUUUGAAAAUCGGUUGAUCCGAAAUGCUUUCUGUGGAAAACUAAAACUGAACUUUUGAAUCAUUCUUUUGCAAACACCUCUGCAUUUUGUGAUGCUCAUCUAUUCUAUCUCAUCUAUAACUCUUCACAGGGUCAGUAGUCAGCUUUUGCAGUAUGUCAGAUCAGAGUGACAGCCAGAACAGGUCAGAAGAGCAGAUGGAUUUGAGUGAGGGCACUAGUCCCUCAACUAUAGAUGAAGGGAGCAGAAGUACUCCUAGCAAUUUGCCUAAGGCUGCUACUAGGCAAAGGAGGAAAAGAACUUCAGAUUCAGAGGAUGAAGAUUACAAAGCUGAGGAAGAUGAGGCUACUUCCAAGAAGGUAGUUCUCAAGAAAGAAUAUGGCUCUGCACAGAGCACUAAACCAGGUCUGAAGAAGAAAGUUCCUGCCAAGAGGACACCAAUGCCAAAGGCCAGAAAGUCCACUCAGGUGCCAGCUCAGACUCAACCCAAAGAGGCACCUGCAAGGAAAGAUACAUCAUCCAAACCUCAGAAAGUUCCUACUGGAGAGACUAUGAAAUUCACAAUUGAGUUAGAGGAUGAUGGGGAUCAAGACAAGAAAAAGAAGAGAGCAAGAACCACAACUGCCAAGGUCCUUGGAAAGCCCUCAAUGAGAAGAGAUUCUGAAGAAGAGGAAGAGGAUGCUACACCAGCACCCAAAGCACCUAAGCUUAUGGGUGAUGCAAUCAGAUCAGGGGCUGCAACAUCUAAGCCCAAGGAAGCACCCAAAGCUGCCUCCAAGGCCAAGCAAGUUCCAAAGAGGAAUACUAGGAGUAUUCCAGCUGUUGAGAAGAACAAGGCCCCAAUGCCCAAUGUUGCUGAAGAAGAAGAUGAAGAAGGUCAGGUAUUAAGAAAGCUCAAGCACAAGAUACAAGACACCAGCACCCAAAGCACCUAAGAUGUGGCUGAGGACAUGAGAAUCAGGAAGGAUUCAGGGCUGAGACUGUGGAGGAUGGAAGAUCCAUAUGCUUCAAGAAGAAGAACUGUUGUUUACUACAGGUUCCAUACAACGGAACAACAGGACUUCUAUGAAACAAUUCUGUUGGAUAAGAAGCCCAUAGUUUGUGACAUGAGGUGGGUCGACUGGACCUACAUCAAGGACAAUGAGCAGCACUAUCCUGGAGUGCAAGAAAGCUUUGUUGCUUGUGGAUUUGCUGAUUAUGUUGGAAAGAAGUUCACCCACUAGAAUGAUGAGCUUAUCAAGCAGUUCUACUCCACAGCACAUUUUUACCAGAUGGUAGAAUUGUUUGAAGGUACAAGGUACCAAUCCACUGUUGAAGAAUGGGCAAGUCUGAUAAAUGCCCCCACGGAAAAUGAGGAUGACCUGGACAUUUAUGCAAAGAUGAAGAUGGAUCAUAAUUCAAUGGCUCACAUGUACAAGGAAAUCCCAGACAACGCAGUAGAGACUCACAAGUUUGGAUCAGUUCACUUUCUGCUGUCAGGGUUUCCAACCAUCAAUUGGAUCCUGAGGCACACUUUGUUGCCUAAGUAUGGUGACCAUAACAUGAUCAGAGGGCAUGCCAUCAACAUGCUGCAUGUGUUUGAUGUGCCACAGAAGUUCAAAGUCUUGAGCCUGAUGAUUGAAACAAUCAAGAGGACUGCAACAGAUCAGAAGAGGAGCUGUGGAUAUGCACCUCAGAUUCAGGAAUUGAUCAACUCAAAGAUGGGCACAGGGAGAUAUCAAUUGGAUAAGGAACAUUUUCCACUUUAUCCAGACUUUGAGGACAAUGAGGUUGUCAUGAAUGAAAAUGAUCCACAAUCAGUUCAAGCUCAGGAGAAGAAGGAGAAGGCAAAGAAGUAGAAGGCUGCCAAGAUGCCAACUCAAGAGGAGGCAUCUGAAUAUUUCUUGAAGACCAAACAGGAGUAGCUUGGUUACUUGAUAGCAUCUACACUGAGGAUUGAGAAGGGACUAGCCACCCUCACUCAGAAUCAGGAGAGCCUUGAGAGAAUCAUGGAACUCAAGUUUCAUGACCUUGAUGUUAAAGUAACUGAGAUCCAGUAAGUUGUAGAGCAGCUGCAGGAUGAUAUGCAGGAGAGGCAGGGCAAGACUACCACAAAUGUGUUUGCCAGAGCACCAACUUUAGCACCAGCCACAGCACCUUCAGUUCCGUUGCAACCAGCUCCAGCAUCCACUCCAGCACCCUCUACUUCAACUGAAGCCUUCGUCCUUGGAGUUAUCAGGACACCACCACCAGAAGAUCAAGCCUGAGAGAUGAUCUAGCACUAUGCAUUUUCUAUGAACUUUUUGGUAACUUGUUGCCAAAGGGGGAGAAAAAUGUAUAGAUCAUAGGCUUCGAGAGAGAGUGUGUUGCUUUUAUUCUCUCUUGCUUUAUUUGGUGGUCUUUCAAACUUUGUUUGCUUUUGGUUCAGAUACUAUGCUUGUGAGACAUUGAUGAUCAUGUGUUUGAUCAUAAGCUACACUUAUGCAUGUUUGAUGAAAAUAUCCUAUCUAUCUUAUGUGAUCAUUCACUAUGCAUGGUGAUGAGUUCAUGUAUUCAAUGUUUAUUAUUUUGAGCGCUCCACCAAGAUGUAUGUGACAUGGAAGAGUAACCCAUGAGCCUAAUUCAUUGUGCAUUUGCAGUCCAAAGGAAAUCUUAAACUAUGCACAAAUUUAGGGGGAGCUCUUGCUUAUCACAUACUUCUCAAAGCGACGAUGUUAUUCAAUCUUAUUAUAAUUUGUCGAAGCUUUGAACUAUAUGUUGUCAUCAAUUACCAAAAAGGGGGAGAUUGAAAGUGCAACUAUCCCUAGGUGGUUUUGGUAAUUCAUAACAACAUGUAGCUCAUUGAGCUAAUGCUAUUCCAAGACUAUUAUUUCAGGAAAGCUCAAUGAAUGGCAUGGCAUGGAUGAUGAAAGUGGAUCCCUCAAAAUACUAAGGACAAAGGAUUGGCUCAAGCUCAAAAGCUCAAGACUCUUCAUUUUAUAUUUUAGUGAUCCAAGAUCACAUUGAGUCUAUAGGAAAAGCCAAUACUAUCAAGGAGGGAUGAGGUGUUGCUUAACGAGCCUCUUGCUUCAUGUGCUUUGUGAUAUGCUCCAAAACCCUCAACUACUUUCCCACAUCCACAAAUGACCUAAACCCAAAGCCAAAAUCGGUCACACAUGUAAUUGUACCCCCUGAGGUUUUGGUAAUAUAUAUGCAGUAGGAGCCUUUCCUACUGUCUUCACAGUCAAAAAAAAUCGGUCACACCGAUUCUUCCUAUCCGGCGCCACCAAUUCCAAAGGUCAUAGCCACUGCCACAAACCCUAAGCAAAUCGGUCUUACCGAUAGGGAUCUCGGUCUCACCGAGAUGGGGUUGUAAUCUCUCUGUUUCCCUUCGUAAUGUUUCGGUCUAACCAAAGUGAGCGAUCGGUCCCACCGAGAUUGCAAUGUAAACUCUCUGUUUCCUUUUUGUAACAUUUCGGUCUCACCGAAAAGAGCAAAUCGGUCCCACCGAGUUUACCUGGCCAACUCUCUGGAAAGCUUAUUACCAAAUCGGUCUCACCGAGUUUUUGUAACCGGUCUUACCGAGAUUACGUUAUGCCCUAACCCUAACCGAAUCAGUCUCACCGAGAUGCAUGUCAGUCCCACCAAAAAUCACUAACGGUCACUAGGUUUACUCAAUUGGUCCGACCGAGUUUGGUAAAUUGUGUGUAACGGUUAGAUUUUGUGUGGAGGCUAUAUAUACCCCUCCACCUCCUCUUCAUUCGUGGAGAGAGCCAUCAGAACGAACCUACACUUCCAACUUACCAUUUCUGAGAGAGAACCACCUACUCAUGUGUUGAGACCAAGAUAUUCCAUUCCUACCAUAUGAAUCUUGAUCUCUCGGCUUCCCAAGUUGCUUUCCACUCAAAUCUUCUUUCCACUAGAUCCAAAACCUAUGAGAGAGAGUUGAGUGUUGGGGAGACUAUCAUUUGAAGCACAAGAGCAAGGAGUUCAUCAUCAACGCACCAUUUGUUACUUCUUGGAGAGUGGUGUCUUGUAGGUUGGCUAGGGGUCACUUGGGAGCCUCCGACAAGAUUGUGGAGUUGAACCAAGGAGUUUGUAAGGGUAAGGAGAUUGCCUACUUCGUGAAGAUCUACCGCUAGUGAGGCAAGUCCUUCGUGGGCGAUGGCCAUGGUGGGAUAGACAAGGUUGCUACUUCGUGGACCCUUCGUGGGUGGAUCCCACCGUGGACUCGUGCAGCCGUUACCCUUCGUGGGUUGAAGUCUCCAUCAACAUGGAUGUACGAUAGCACCACCUAUCGGAACCACGCCAAAAACAUUUGUGUCUCCAAUUGUGUUUGAAUCCUCCAAACUCUUCCCUUUACUUUCUUGCAAGUUGCAUGCUUUAAUUUCCGCUGCCUAUAUACUCUUUGCAUGCUUGCUUGAAUUGUGUGAUGAUUGCUUGACUUGUCUUAAAGUAGCUAAAAUCUGCCAAACUCUAAAAUUGGGAAAAGGCUAAGUUUUUAUUGGUGAAGUAGUCUAAUCACCCCCCCCCCCUUUAGACAUACUUCAAGGUCCUACAAAAACAGAAAUUAAAAUAGAGAAACCAGAGAGAGAGAGAGAACUUACCUGGCGCUCACCUGGCAGCCCAGCUAGCCUAGCACUGUAGCUGAGGCCCAGCCCACCAGGGCGAAGCGGUCGUCUUCAUCCUCUGCCAGUAUGCAGAGGCGUGUCGACGCCAGCGCGCCCGAGGCCUCCACCUCCUCCCUCCCAGCCUGCCUGGCUCCUCCUCGAUGCACCAGGCGACGCCAUGCAGCCCCUGGCCCCCUCUCACUCUCUCCCGUUCCUCUCCCCUCCUCUGCUUUCUCUCCCUAUCGGUGUCAAAACCGGCGGAUCUCGGGUAGGGGGUCCCGAACUGUGCGUCUAGGCGGAUGGUAACAUGAGACAAGGGACACGAAGUUUUUACCCAGGUUCGGGACCUCUCGAUGGAGGUAAAACCAUACUCCUGCUUGAUUGAUAUUGAUGAUAUGGGUAGUACAAGAGUAGAUCUACCACGAGAUCAAGGAGACUAAACCCUAGAAGCUAGCCUAUGGUAUGAUUGUUGUUCGUCCUAUGGACUAAAACCCUCUGGUUUAUAUAGACACCGGAGAGGGCUAGGGUUACACAGAGUCGGUUACAAUGGUAGGAGAUCUACAUAUCAGUAUUGCCAAGAUUGCCUUCCACGCCAAGGAAAGUCCUAUCCGGACACGGGACAAAGUCUUCAAUCUUGUAUGUUCAUAGUCUUGGAGUCCGACCAAUGAUGAUAGUUCGGCUAUCCGGACACCCCCUAGUCCAGGACUCCCUCAGUAGCCCCUGAACCAGGCUUCAAUGACGACGAGUCCGGCGCGCAUGUUCUCUUCGGCAUUGCAAGGCGGGUUCCUCCUCUGAAUAAUUCAUAGAAUAUUUUGAACACCAGGAUAGUGUCCGGCUCUGCAAAAUAAAUUCCACAUACCACCGUAGAGAGAAUAAUAUUUACACAAGUUCAAUCUGCUGACGUAUUUCGUGAUAUGACAUCACCCCACGGCCAAGCCUUUACUCGAAUCGUUUUUAUUGUUCCACCUCAGCGCGUUUAGCGAAGUGGUUUCCUUGGCACGUCUUGUCAAAGCAGAGAUCGUGUCCCCUUAUUCCGGGAUUCUCAUCAAUACGGACGUGGGUAACCCAACCGCGCCCGUGGGCACGCCCCCUCCAUCGAAGGUGAGUCCCAAACAGUUACGGGGACGGCUCUUGGUAUUCAACCCCUUUAUAACGAGACCAAGGCCUGUUCCUUUUCUUCAAUCUUCAAUAGAAUCCGUCCCUCGCCCCGAGUUCCAACACCCAAGGCUCCAGAUUCAGGCACUCCGGACCUUCGACAAUGUCCGGCUCCGACCAACAGGGUCGGUGGAUGCCCUCUUCCGUCUCGGAAGAAGAUGUGCUAAAGUUGAGAGACGCCAGGUAUAUAACCGGUGAAAUUUCGCAUAGGCUGCCCGUCCAAGGGCAAGUCAUUCCCACUCCCGAGCCUGGUGAGAGCAUGGUGUUCGUGUCUCACUUCCGUCAGGGUUUAGGCUUCCUGAUGGAUCCCUUCGUGAGAGGGCUCAUGUUUUAUUAUGGGCUGGAAUUCCAUGACAUGGAUCCGGAGUCCAUCCUCCACAUCUCAUCGUUCAUUGUUUUAUGCGAAGCCUUCCUCCACACCACUCCUCACUUCAGAUUGUGGCUCAAGACCUUCAACGUGGAGCCGAAGAUGAUCGAGGAGCGGCAGGCAGAGUGCGGAGGGGCAGUUAUAAGCAAGAGCGCUGACGCUCCAUGGUCUGAGGGCCUUUUUCAGAAGGAGCUUGGUUUGUGGCAGCAGGAGUGGUUCUACAUUACCGCUCCCAGGGGCACAAGAUGGGUGGCGCCGCCUGCCUUUCGCUCGGGCCCUCCACAACGGCUGGCGUCAUGGGUAAACAAAGGGCUUGACUGGGGGCCGUCUAAGGACGUGCCAUUAUUGCAGGGCCGCAUUCGAGACCUCCAAGAGAGGGAGAUCAAUCUGGUUGUAGUGGCGCAGGUCAUGCUGAUUCGGCGUCUUCUGCCCUGCAAACGUCGCCCCUCCGCCUAUGGGAAUUCAAUCCGGAGGGACCGCGAGCUCUCCAACACUUCAUGGGUGCGACGCUCGUGGAGAUGUAUAAAUUGUUCUUCGGAUCACAAGAGAUGUGUCCGGACCUGACCGAGGACGCAGGCCUGAGCUGCAAUCAUCCGGAUACUCAAGUAAGUAGUCCUGUGCCCGGACAUGCUGUCCAUACAUUUAUCAUAAAGCUUACUUUUUAACCAGCUAUCCCUUGAACAGGAGUGGAUAGCAAAAGCAAAGCUGAUACGGUGUCCGGCCCCCCUCCUUGAGACCACGCCGGAUCCUGUGUUAAUCAAGAUGCUGGAGGCUGGGCCUUCGGAAGGGGGCGAAGGGGAAAACAGGAAAACUACCGCCUCCGUUAAGGAGGCUUUUAAGAAAGGGGGGAUCGAGAAUCCCUCAUUCCAGGGGGAGAAGAGGACCGCUUCUGAAGAUCCAGAGGCCAAGGCCUCAAAGCGGGGAAGAAAUCCUCACCAGAGGGUUCUGCACCGGGAGAAGCCCCGGCCGCACUAUUUCCCCAAGGGAAUCAGCCCUCCGGCGAGCCGUAAGUAGAAAGGGGAGUUUUGUAAUAAGGGACAUCCCUGUUUUUAUUUCUGAAGAUAACCGAAGUUUUACCUUGUAGUUCGGAUCUCAGCCCUUCUCAGCAGAGCUCAUCUUCGGGGGAUCUUCGUCCGGAGAUGAUGGAGAGCGAAAAGCCCCCAUCUGCCGCACCGUCAGGUGGGGCGGACGACCCUGAGGUGUCGUCGCGGAGGGUCUCCCUGAGUCCGGCAGGGCCGGAGAGCCAACUAGUGUACGGCCGGAGGAGCUGAAGGAUCUGCUCGGGCGGGUGUCUAUCUCAGAAGAUCACCGUACAUUAAUGAGUACAGUGAUUGAAAGGAUUUCAUCCGCUGAGAGCGGGUUGCACGAGGCCGUCAGAAGUAUACUGACGGGGUUUGAGGUACGCGAAAAUGAUAUAUCUUUUGACAGUUUUGCACAUAGAAUGCGCCCUAUAUAGAUAGUAGCCCCUGAGACUCGAUACGUUGUCAAAAGGCGAAAGCGUGUCGAGGAUCAUAAUCCCAGUUAUAAGAUGUCGCCCUUCCUAUUCAGGUGGCGGAGCGUUCGGUGGCCAGCCAGACUGAUAGAGUUGUCGAACUGAAGCGGCAACUUGACGUUGCGGAUGCGGACAUCGUGCUGGUCAAUAAACGACUUGACGAGUCACAAGGUAUGUGGCUUCUCCGCGGACACCUUGUAAGGGAGCUUGACGCCCGUGCCUUACAACAUCUAUGCUUAAUGCAGAUGGCGCCGCUGCAAUGGAAGACCUUCGGGUGGAGCUUGCCCGAGCCAAGGAGCAAGCCAGAAAAAGUAAUGCGGCUGCCUUGAAGGCGGCCGAAGAGCUAAAAGCCGAACAGGCUGCUCACUGCCGAAGCAGGGAGGAAAUGGCCGAAAUGGCCGUGAAGCUGAAGGAUGCUACCGACUGCUAUGAGUUUCUCGAAGGAGAACGCCGAGCGGAGAAAGAGGACCUGAAGAAGGCCACCGUUGAAGCCAAGGAUGCCCGCUCCAUGGUGAGAGCUAUAAGGGAGGAGCUACGCCAGGCCGGUGAUAUUGCGGCUGGAAAGCCCUUUCUGCUGCGUAGGAAGUUCACGGAUUCGAAGUGUGCUCAGUUGGGCCAGUUGUGGGGUGCGGAGGAUGCUUAUCUGAAUUUGGCGGCGAGUGCGGCGGACGUAGUCAUGCACUUCCGAGGCCAAAAGGAUCACGGAAUGGAAGAGCUUUUUUGGUCUCAAUUCCAUAGUCCGGAGCGUCCACUUCCAUUAACCGAUCGGUUGGCUGAGUGGGCUGAGCUGAAUAGGUUGUCCGGACUUGCGCGGAAGGAUGUUGGGGCUCAUCUGUGGCCGAAAAGGCCCAAGCCGAAGAGUUAUUUUGGCUUGGUGCAGCAGUUCCUUGAUGCGGUGCCGCAUAUCAAGGCGAUGAAGCGGUCGGCAUGCAUAGAGGGUGCGCGGAUGGCUCUCGCCCGUGUCAAAACAUACUGGGCAGAGAUGGAGGCCACCGACGUUGCAUCCCGGGAUUCGGACAGAAGCCGAUUACCCGCCGAGCACUAUUUUGGGGAAGCCCUGCAGGGCGCUCAUUUAAUAGAGUCGAAGUGCUCGAAAAACGUUAUGUUCAAGUAACAUGUAUGAGUUGUGAGACCAUGUCUCAAAUAUAAUAUAAGGGCUUUUUAUACUUGGGCGUUCAAGUGUGGAAAUACCUCCUGUGCGGCCGUUAACGUAUAUGUGUAUAUAACCUGAAAGAUGGCAGUCUUCGGCUUUAGCCCCCACGCACAUAGUGCGGGGGUGUUUGCAAAAAAAAGUGCAUUUUCACACUUAAUCCAACGUCUUGGUCCUAUGAAGGAGGUGAUAGCGUAGCAAACUAGGCAACCGGACUAUAAUGCUUUAUCACUUUCACUUAGCCAUAGGAGUUCGAUGGUGGGGCUACUAUAUAGCCCCUAGUUUCGGGGCGCGUAUGUGCCUGACCGGGAAACGGUCCUUCGUUAAAGCGGAGGAAUUCUAAACAUUCCAGUGGUUGAUCGAGUGGUUGACCAGUCUCUCGCUCUAUCAUGACAGUCAGUUUUCGGCUUUCUCUACUGAGGUGCUCACCCGGGUGAACCGGGGCACAAUCGCAGUAGUUCUCCUGGUGUCGCGUUAGCCGAUAGAGCGGAAUGUAAGGCAGCAAAACACAGGAGCCGGGCAAACCCAACAUUUGACCAAAGACAUGAUUCAGAGCUGAUGCAUAUAAGGCCUAACUCAAGACGCCGAACACUCCCUAAGGUAUUCGGUCUUUAUCAAAACGGGCAGAACAAUGCCCUAAGCCCCUAGUGUCCAGGUACGCGCAAAAAUUUCUGACGCGGCCGAUGCCAAAAUGCCAGAUUCCUCUUUGGUUAUAGCAAAAAACCGGGGGAUGUGAAUCAACAAGAGACAGUAAAAAAGGUUUACGCAGGGUCUUAAUCUGAAAAGAAUCCUUGCAUCGGGUCCCUACUGCACGUCUGCGCCUGUGUCUCCGUUGUGCCGUAUCCUGGGCGGGUGUCGCACUGUGUUCAUCUGUGAAAGAGAAGAACUUAGUUGGAAAAGAGUUCAUGCGAAAGAUGUAUUUUGAAAUAAAUAGAGUAUGAUUCAAAGAAUGAAUAAAAUUGAGCUUUAUUGGCUCUUAUUGUACAUGCGUGCAACCCCUUGUAAAGGGGUACGCGGCUGGUAAGCCCCUUGUUUGUAUAUACCGGACUCGCCUAACCGUGUUCGGGGUCUGAAUGACCUGUUUAGGGGCUUUGAUCAGCAAAUCCGGAUUAGUGUGUGGCUGUCAAGGCAGUCUUACGCUCUUCCUUAGUCGAGGAACACUCAAAGUUACCCUUUAAUGAGAUGAUGCCGCGUGGACCAGGCAUUUUAAGUGUAAGAGACGCGUAAUGCGGUAUUGCGUUGAAGCGGGCGGAAGCUUCACGUCCCAACAGUGCUUGAUAGCGACUUUUAAAUGGGGCAAUGUGGAAGACUAACUUUUCGCGACGGAAGUUGUCGGAUGAGCCAAACACGACUUCUAGUAGUAGAUAGCCCGUACAAUGGGCAUAUGGGCCUGGCAUCAGUCCUUUAAAGGAAGUGUUGCUAUGGCGAAUUUUGGUUGGGUCUAUCCCCAUUCUGCGGAUUGUGUCCUGGUAUAACAGGUUUAGGUCACUGCUGCCGUCCAUUAGGACUUGUGUAAAUUGCAGUCCAUUGAUAGGAUCUAAUAUCAAAGCAGUCCAUCCUGCGUUCUGGAUACUUCUGGAGUAGUCCUGAUGGUCGAAGGUGAUUGGUUUUGAUAACCAGUGUUGGGACUCCGUUGGGGUAGACCGUGCGGUGCGUACUUUAGUGGGUGCCGCUCUAUUUUUCCCUUUUAUCAUUUGAAGUUAAUUCACUGUUUUGACCUCUGGUGGGAAAUUCUUUUGUUUUCCGGUUCUCUGCUUGUGGGGUUCAUCAUCGUCCUCACUUGGUGUGUCGAGCCCCUUGUGUUCGGCGUUAAGUCGGCCAGACUGCUUGAAGACCCAACAAUCUCUGUGGGUAUGGUUUGCAGGCUUCCCGGGGGUACUGUGAAUCUCGGGUAGGGGGUCCCGAACUGUGCUUCUAGGCGGAUGGUAACAGGAGACAAGGGACACGAUGUUUUUACCCAAGUUCGGGCCCUCUCGAUGGAGGUAAAACCCUACUUCUACUUGAUUGAUAUUGAUGAUAUGGGUAGUACAAGAGUAGAUCUACCACGAGAUCAAGGAGGCUAAACCCUAGAAGCUAGCCUAUGGUAUGAUUGUUGUUCAUCCCAUGGACUAAAACCCUCCAGUUUAUAUAGACACCAGAGAGGGCUAGGGUUACACAGAGUCGGUUACAAUGGUAGGAGAUCUACAUAUCCGUAUUGCCAAGCUUGCCUUCCACGCCAAGGAAAGUCCUAUUCGGACACGGGACGAAGUCUUCAAUCUUGUAUCUUCAUAGUCUUGGUGUCCGGCCAAUGAUGAUAGUUCGGCUAUCCGGACACCCCUAGUCCAGGACUCCCUCACUCCCUCUCGCGCCCGAGAGCAACCGCCGACGCCGUUCGCCACCACCGCAGCCACCGCCAUCCCCUCGACCUCCCGACGUGUUCAGGAGCUCUGCCUUUACCACCUCCCCCUCCUCAUCGAGCAACACACCGCGGGAGCCCCUGGAAUGCCGCCAUCGCCGUCGUCUUCAACCUCCAGCACCUGAGAUCGCCGGCAAUGCCACGUCACCGUCCGGCCUCCCUCGAGCUCGCAGAUGCCUCCAAACGACGCGGGGUGAGCCCCUCUUUGUUUCGCCCCUAUCCCCGUCGCCCCGCACGUUCUCUAGCGCUAACACCGCCGUGCCUGAAUCUCGCCGCCGCCGUGCCAUGUCGUUGCUGCGGCCAGAGCUGCCUCGCCCGCUUUUGAGCGUGUCGCCGUUCUCACCGUGCUCUCAGGAGCCGAACGCAUGCACCAGCUCCUCCUGCCGUGCUCCCUAACACUGACUCCGAGCUCACCCGAGCUCUGGCGACCGCCAAGGUCAUCGCCGGCGACAACUCCGGCCACCCCAGGCCCAACUGCCACCAUCACCCGAUGCGGACGUGCGUUCGCAUCACGUAGAUGCCUCCGCCGGCCGUUUGGUCGCCGGAGACACAAACCCGAGGCUCGCCACCGCGGCUGGCCUCGCCGGCGUCAAGCCACCGAUGGGUUUGACCCCGCUGACCCGGGGUUGACCUUGUUUGACCCCCCCCCCCAGGGUCGCUGACAAGUGGGCCUAGGGCCCCAGCUAAUCCUAGUUUAGUUUUUAAUUAAGUCUAAUUACUCCACUGACAUUUUUAGUUAGUAGUAGUUUAACACUAAUUAAUUUAGAUUAGUUAGUUAGUCACUGACGUGUGGACCCCACACGUCAGGUUUGACCUGGACCCGGCUCCGUUGACCCGCUCACGUCACACUGACAUCAGGCUGACGCAGUAAAUGAUUUUUUGGAUUUAUUCUUUUAGGAAAUUCCAGAAAAUGGUCAAAACUUCUAAAAAUCAUAGAAAUUCAACCGUAACUCCAAAUGAAAUAAUUUAUAUAUGAAAAAUUAUCAGAAAAAUCCAAUCUAUCCAUCUGUACUAUUUUCAUGCAUGUUAGAACAACUUAUGACUACUGUUUAGGACAAUUCAAUUAAAUGGCAUUUAAAUAACCACAUGUGGAGUUUGAAUUUGAAUCUUGGAUUCAAACCAACUUCAUUUAAUCUGGUUUUAGUUGCAUUAGUACAAACCACAGCAUAUUGCCAUGUCACAUUCAUGCAUCAUAUUGUUACAUUGCAUUGAUUGUGUUUCUUCUUUGUUUGUCGGUGCUUGUCCCCUCUUAGUAGACGUGUACCGACGAUGUGAUCGAUGACACCGAUGAAGAACUAUAUUAUCUUCAGAAGUGCCAGGCAAGCAAAACCCCCUUGUUCAUUCCGAUACAAUCCCACUCUCUCGAUCCUGCUCUCUUUUACUGCAUUAGGACAACAAUGAUUCAUCUGUUACUUGCUGCGGUAGUUGAACCCCCCUUAUCCUCUGCAUGACCUGUCAUUGCCACAGUAAAUAGAUGAAACCCACUAGCAUGAGUAGGAGUUGUUUGAGCCCCGAUGUGCCUACUCAUUCAUGCUUGUUUGUCAUGCCUGGUACUGCUUAGAGUUGAGUCAGGUCUGAUUCAUCGGGGAUGAAUUGGAAAGUGGUGAACAUGUCCUACUGUUGAGAGCUAGGUGUGUGAACACGAUUUGGUAAAGGUAGCGGUGAGAGGCCAUGUAGGAGUACAUGGUGGGUUGUCUCAUUGAAACCGUCCUUAGGAACUGAGUUUUGUGUUUGUAAUCCAUGAACAGCUACUACCACACAUUGGGAUCCUUAAUUGACUCUCUCGACUUAUUAAUCAACCUGAUCUCUAUCCAGGAGUUGCAACUAGUUUCUGGUGUUUGUAGGUAGUGUUAGUAGUCUACCAAGUGGCACCCGGUACAGGUGGGCUUGGGACGGACUAGGCACCGUGGCACGGUGUACCAAGCGUAGAUCCACCCGUCGAGGUGGGCUUGGGAACCCUGCUCACAUCGUUUGGGGCCGUGAGCGACACCCCGGCCGGAUCUCCUUGCGGAUGGAACCCGAAUAGGCGAUAAACCUGGACGAGAGACUUGUGUGGUUAGUCAGGUCGUGGCCGACUCCCUCGCCAGGCUUCCGCUUGAAGGUUGCCGAGAUACACGAGGUGUACAUGGCGGUAAGUGGCGAGAGCGUGUGUGAAGAAGUACACCCCUGCAGGGAUAAUAUGAUCUAUUCGAAUAGCCGUGUACGCGGUAAAGGACUUCUGGGUUGCCUGUACAUUUCAUAGACAAGUGAAAGUGGAUACUCUAAAAUACGCAAGAUAAGCGUGAGUGCUAUGGAUGGCGUUCUCAUAGGGAGACGGGAGCGGAUCCAUAGUGGUGUAUUGAUAUGGUGAAUAUGUGGACUCGUGUGCGCGACCUCAAAAGAGUUACUUGCAGUCGUAGUUUAGGAUAGCCACUGAGUCAAAGCUGUCUUGCUGCAGUUAAACCCCACCAUCCCCUUUGUUGAUAAUGAUGCAUAUGUAGUUAGUUCUGAUGUAAUUCUUGUUGGGUACAUUUGUACUCAUGUUUGCCUAUUUUAUGUUUUUGCAGAGAGACUUCAGUCUCACUAGUAGUUCCGCGUGAACUUCGACGUUUAGCUUGUUACCUCAGCUACGAUCUUGUGCCCUCGGCAGGAUCUGGUAGUUAGUCAGGCUUCUCAGCCUUUUUCAUUUGUAGCUGUCUGUACUCAGACAUGUUAAGCUUCCGCAUGUGCUUUGACUUGUAUGCUCUGAAUGUUGGGUCGUGAGACCCAUGUUUGUAAUAUCUCGCUCCUCGGAGCCUAUUGAAUAAAAUACUUGAGUUGUAGAGUCAUGUUGUGAUGCCAUGCUGUAUUUGCACAUAUCGAGCAUAUUGUGUGUAUGCUAUUGAAAUGCUUGGUAUGUGUGGGAUCUGACUAUCUAGGUUUAUCCUUAGUAGCCUCUCUUACCGGGAAAUGUCUCCUAGUGCUUCCACUGAGCCAUGGUAGCUUGCUACUGCUCCGGAACACUUAGGCUGGCCAGCAUGUGUCCUUCUUCGUUCAUGUGUCUGUCCCUUCGGGGAAAUGUCACGCGGUGAAUACCGGAGUCCUAUUAGCCCGCUAGAGCCCAGUUCACCGGAGUCCUGCUAGCCUAGUGCUACAGCCUGGAUUCACUCGUUGAUGACCGACACAUUCGAUGCUGGGUCAUGGAUGCCUGUCCCUGUAAGUCUGUGCCACUUUGGGUUUACGACUAGCCAUGUCAGCCCGGGCUCCUUAUCAUAUGGAUGCUAGGGACACUAUCAUAUACGUGUGCCAAAAGGCGCAAACGGUCCCGGGCAAAGGUAAGGCGACACCUGUGGGGAUACCGUGCGUGAGGCCGCAAAGUGAUAUGAGGUGUUACAUGCUAGAUCGAUGUUGCAUUCAGUCGGGGUCCUGACAGCUUUGGUAUCAGAGCUUGACUGUCUGUAGGAUUACCAAGCCAAACUGGUCGAAGUUGAGUCUAGAAAUUCUUUAGUUAUAUAAGGGAAUUGAUUGUGGGAUGGAACGUAAGGCUCUUUUUACUCCUAACACUACUAGGGAAAAGGCUAUACACAGAAUCUUAGCAGCAGCGAGGGUUAAAAACCCUCGCUACUGCUACUUACUAGCAGCGCAGGUUUUUAAACCUCGCUACUACUAAGUUGAUAGCAGCAGCGCGGGUUUGUAACCCUCGCUACUACUAAGCGGUCUCUACCGUGCCCCCCGGGAUAUGCCAUAGUAGUAGUGAGGGUUUUUAACCCUCGCUACUACUAAGUUGAUACCAGUAGCGCGGGUUUUUAACCCUCGCUACUACUAACCCGCGCUACUGCUAUCAACUUAGUAGUAGCGUGGGUUAAAAACCCGCGCUACUGCUAAUCGUCUGUCAUAGNNNNNNNNNNNNNNNNNNNNNNNNNNNNNNNNNNNNNNNNNNNNNNNNNNNNNNNNNNNNNNNNNNNNNNNNNNNNNNNNNNNNNNNNNNNNNNNNNNNNNNNNNNNNNNNNNNNNNNNNNNNNNNNNNNNNNNNNNNNNNNNNNNNNNNNNNNNNNNNNNNNNNNNNNNNNNNNNNNNNNNNNNNNNNNNNNNNNNNNNNNNNNNNNNNNNNNNNNNNNNNNNNNNNNNNNNNNNNNNNNNNNNNNNNNNNNNNNNNNNNNNNNNNNNNNNNNNNNNNNNNNNNNNNNNNNNNNNNNNNNNNNNNNNNNNNNNNNNNNNNNNNNNNNNNNNNNGGACCGCCUUUUCAGUUUUUAAAAAAGUAAAAGAAAAUGAUAAAAAUGUCAAAAAAAUAAAAGAAAAUAAGUUUCCCAUGUGAUAUGUGGUCUAGUUGUUGGGAAAAUUUAUAAAUACGAAUUUCGACUUUAUUUGCAAAAUCUCUCUGGAAAUUUGUAAAAUGGCCAUAACUUUUGCAUACGAACUCGGAUGAAAAAGUUUUUUAUAUGAAAAAGCAUCUACUCGAAAAGUUACAUCCGAAUUUAACUGGGGGAACCCCGUUAAACAUUUUUUAAAUCCUCAAAAGCCUAACAGAAAAAAGUUACGGGGCUUUUAAGAUUUGGAGGCAAAAAAAUUCAAAAAAAAUCAGUUUUUUAAUUUUUGUUAAAUCUGGUGAAAGUAUGGUCAAACUAAUUAUACAAGAAUUUUAGUGUUACUAAAUAAUUAUUUUAUUUUUUUUGAAUUUUGGUCAAAUCUGGUCAAACUAUGGUCAAAUCUGGUCAAACUAAUGUCAAAUCUAGUCAAACUGUGGUCAAACUAAUUAUUCAAGAAAUAUUAGUGUUACUAAUUUUUUAUAACAAUAGUUUCAAACUCAAACAGUGAAAUGUGUGACUUCAUGCUCAAACUAAAUUCCUGAGGUUAAUAGGAUUGACAUCUUACUAUUGUCAGGAACACAACAAGUGCAGACUUGGAAACGAGGGAGAAUAGAACCCGGAAGUUAAGCGUGCUCAGGCUGGAGUAGUGAGAGGGAUGGGUGACCGUCCGGGAAGUUAGAUGAUUUGGAAUGAUGAGGGGUGAUUAGAGAUUAAAUUGAGCAGCGAUGAGGGGUGAUUAGAGAUUUGAGUUAAAAUAAUUCAGAAAUUUGAAAAUUUCGAAAAAAAAUCAAAAAAUUUUUUUGAAAAAAUUCAAUUUUUUUUGGAGAUUACAGGUUAGUAGUAGCGCGGGUUUUUACCCACUCUACUGCUAUACGUUAGCUGUAGCGCGGGUGCCACCCGCGCUACUGCUAUAAGUUAGCUGUAGCGCCUUAUUAGUAGCGCGGGUACCCGCGCUGCUGAUAGGCCUAAAACCCGCGCUGCUGCUAGGCUUUUCCCUAGUAGUGUUAACCUUAUGUCCUUCUGAUCUGAGUCACCCUCUUCUUCUAUACGGGGUUAAGAACUAGGCCUUCUCUUCUUUCUAUCAGGAUCACGUGUUACUAAUCCGUAGACUUAUAGGAUUGUUGGUUUCAAGCCUCAGUUAAGUUCCUACUACUUCCAUAUGUUAAUUGUUGAUCUCGAAACCUUGAUAUUGUGCUUCUGAGUGGCGAUGCCACCAUUUUUGUAGCAUGUCUAAAUUCUUUUGAGCAUUUACAGCCGUUAUGCUGUCCGAGUCAUCCCAGGUUCUAAAUAGUCUGAUGCAUUUGCAAAUCCCUUCUUACCGUUCCGAUGUUCCUUUGGCCAGAUUAACCACACCAACUAGUGUCUUGAGGUACUUCAUUGCCUCAGUAUAUAUAUGUUUGAGCUAGUAUUAUGACCCUAGGUGUCUUAGAGUACCACCUAGUAAGCUAGCCAUGAUUUGUGUUCCCAGUGUGAUGAUUCUGGCCUUUAUUCUCGAAAGCAUCCCAUGAUGCCACUUAGUAGUAGGUAUUCUACUCCUUGGGUUUUGAACCCGAGAUUCACCCUACUUACCUCGUGUUGAUAGUGUUUGCUAGUUCCUUUCGGAUAUUAGUAACCUUUGUGAUAGUCCUCGAGGUCCGUGGUAUAUCGUUCUUACAAAUACCAUGAACCAUUCUUGGCAGGAGUUCUUUUGAACCAAAAGAUCACAACCAGAGUGCUCUUGAUGAGUUCUCCAUUCUAUAUUGUGAAUCUGCCAGUUCUACCUUCUGCAUGGGUUAUCCGGAAGAAAUGUUGAGCUUUGCUCGACCUACUAAUCUAUGCAUCCACAACUCAGAAAGAUAUAUGUUCCUUUGAGUUGUCCCUCUUCAGGCGUAUUCCGAUCUUCGUCUAUCAAUUGAUAGUCAGGAGUAAUUGUGCAUUCGUGUUAUCGAUGCUUAUUAUUCUUGUGGUCCGUUAAGCUAUUCUAUUUAGAAUGACUAGGAGAAACAAACUCCAGUACCUCAUCCAUAUCCAGGAUUGGGUCAAAAUAGUUGUGCUCCGCAGAUCAAAAUGCCAACCUAGCUUUUGAUUCUAUUCUACCCUGAAGUAUUACCGUCUUUAUGUCAGGAUUUUCAUGAGAAUUGCACCGGCUCUUGUGAAUUCUUGACGUAGUGAUACUUCUUGCCAUCAUUGUUCAUUCCUCGGCCCCGUGUUAUUGUAACCGGAACGCCGACAAGUGAAUCAUGAUGUGUGAAAUCAAUACCCCUAGCAACCAUGUUGCUUAGUGGUUAAUGGAGGAAAAUCUUAUUCUUAGUGUGUUGGUUAUGGAAUCAUCAUUCUAAGAUUGAUCGUGCUACCUAGUCCUUAUUUCCUGGUGCACUCUUCGAUCAAUGAGUUAGGAUUGUGCCAAUCCCUCGCUUAUUUGAUCAUAUCGUCUUGCCCUAAAAAGCAAGAUUGUUCUCGAGCUUAGUAACAUAUCGGUGGUUCAUGAUAUUCCGAAUUUCUUCUCGGAAGUAUCAUCAGGUUGUCCCCUGACCGUUAUGUUGAGCUCGUGAUCCAGUUGGUUUUUUCCUAAACCACCCCUUCUCCAAGAGUCUAUGUUGGAUACCCCUGAGCUAGUUGGUUAAGCUGAGCGACAACUUGGAGAGUUGGAAGAUGAAAGCUUUGUCUGACUUAGUUCAUUCCAAAGGGAUAUCUCUUUGUAUAUGUGUGUUGAAGAAAGAUGAUAUCUUCAUCGAUUGAUCUCCGUGACCAAUUGCUGGACCUAUUGUCUUGCCAAAACUUUGAUUUGAGUGUGGGCUAUUCUCAAAUCAAAUCAGAACCAAUGAUGUUCGUAAUGUUGCCUUACUCGUGGUUGAUCCCUCGAGUAUACACCAUUGUAUCUUUUGGUCUGACCAAUGCUAUCACAUUGUUCACAUAAUUGUGGAACUCCACUUAUAUGGAAACAUGGAUGAAUUGUUGUUGAGCCCAUUAGCAACAUUGUUAUCUUCUCCAUGAUUCGUGUUUGAACAUCCAGCUAGUAUUGGAAACUUUUAUAAGCAUUAUCUUCAUGUCCCGUGCAUGAAGCAUGUGCCUGGAUGCAAGAAGUGACUUCCUCUAGUUCAUGUGCAUUUGAUGCAAGUUGCCGCCGUGAACUCGAGAAAGUUUGUUUUUGCUUCCUCUGGAAUCAUCCCAAGUCAGUCAUGCAUAUGUGCGAAGUAUUCUGUGGUCUGGAGACUUGCAACCUUCAUUCUAUAUGCAUUCCUAGCACACCAAGCCACUGAUUGAUUUGUUCAAGGAAGAAAAGUCUAUGCUUGGGAUCUAAUCCAUGGACUUGCGUAAAGACUUCGAUAUCCUCAAUGAUGGUUCCCCACCUGAACUCGGUAGUGUUUUACUAUAAGGCUACUAUGUGGUCAUGCUUGUCUGGGACAACGUGUUCACAUGUGUGUAGCAGAACCAGCUCAUGUUUUGGAGCUUGCUAUCGUAGCUCAUUUCCCGAGAAUCUCGCAACGUCAUCUCGUCGAUUUGUGUUGCAAACUUUCGUUUUUCUUUCUAGACUCGAUGAGUCUGGAAUAUCCUGACACCAACCAGAUCUGAAUCUCAGUCGGAUAUGAUGGUUGGAACGUUUUCUCAAGAAUUAUAAUAUUGGUCUCUUUAUAACUGGUAAAGUGGAUGUCGUGGCCAACACACCCAGCCGGAAGACCUACUAUUGUAGUAUCUUGAUUGAGAAAGUUAGCCACCUCCCCAUAAGGAUUUCGUAGGAUUUAUUCCCUACUUGACCCUUAUGGAUUCCUGUGCUCCCGAAGUCCGACCUUUUACUUGAUGAUUCUAGGUACCAAACCAUUUUAAUAAAUGGGUUGCGCUAGCACAUCAAGGAGAACAUUAGAAGCGCAGUGCUAAAUGUCUCUCGGUCGAUUAUCCGGAUUUUGAUUCCUUGGCCUCGCUAAGGUGAAAUCUGAGAAGGUGUUAUCUCCUUUUGCAUCUGCAUCGUCCAUCACCAUUCAUCAUGGUAGUAUGUUGUGUUGCCAGGAUCCUUGACACGGAUAUUGGUAAGACCUUGAUGAAUAUGGAAAUGCUCAAGUUCUUGAGAGCACGCGCAAGCAAAAUCAUUCCUUGCAUUGUCGUCAACAAGGUAGUCCAUAUCAUCCAUUCUAGUCCGAGUAUGCCAUUUUACCGCACUCCGCCAAUGAUUGUUGUGAUUUGUCUUUGGCUGGUAUAAAGAGUUUCAAUGAUCCUUUCCAAUAGAGUUUCUUUCUAAUGUCAUCGUGUUGGAUGAAGAUCUCGAAAGCAAAGAUGUCAAGAUCAAUAUGAAGCAAUGAAUCAACAUUAUUGAGAAGGACAGUUCGAUCGUGAAUAUCGUGUUAGCUUUGUGUCGCCUCUGUCUUCUUACCUCAUGUCUUGAAUCUCGGGGCGAGAUUCUUGUUUAGUGGGGGCGAGUUGUCACAUCCCUAGUCCUGGUAUGCAGUAGGCUAGCCCUUCAUGUGUGCAUCAUGUUUAACUUUUCAAAUGAACUUGAAAUGGGGACUGAUCUAACCCUAGCACCAGAUCAAAUCAAAUAGGUUCAACAUAAAAUCAUUUUCAAUGAACCUUAAAUGCCCUUCUAAAAUGUUCAUCAUCUUUGCCUUGGUCUUAAACCUCUGACAAAAAUGGUGCACAAUUUUCUAGGUCAUCCUAAGGUCACUGAAUUAAAUCAUAAGUAUUUGAAUUUGGACAUUUAAAUUCUAUAAAAUAUUUUAAAUGUCCAAAUACUCCUAAACUGAAAUGUUCCAUGUUGGAUAUAUUCUAUACAGUGGGCAUGUGCAGUUUAGUGAUUUUUUAAAGGGUCUAGGUAUUUUUAGAAAAGCCCUAAAGAUUACAGAAUAAUAGAAAACAGAAAUUAAAAUAGAGAAACCAGAGAGAGAGAACUUACCUAGCGCUCACCAGGCAGCCCAGCUGGCCUAGCACUGUAGCUGAGGCCCAUCCCACCAGGGCAAAGCGGUCGUCUUCAACCUCUGCAGUAGGCAGAGGCGUGUCGACGCCAGCGCGCCUGAGGCCUCCACCUCCUCCCUCCCAGCCUGCCUGGCUCCUCCUCGAUGACCAGGCGACGCCACGCAGCCCCUGGCCCCCUCUCACUCUCUCCCGUGCCUCUCCCCUCCUCUGCUUUCUCUCCCUCUCGCGCCCGAGCGCAACCGCCGACGCCGUUCACCACCACUGCAGCCACCGCCUUCCCCUCGACCUCCCGACGUGUUCAGGAGCUCCGCCUUUACCACCUCCCCCUCCUCGCUGAGCAACGCACUGCGGGAGCCCCUGGAAUGCCGCCAUCGCCAUCGUCUUCAACCUCCAGCACCUGAGAUCGCCGGCAAUGCCACGUCACCGUCCGGCCUCCCCAGAGCUCGUAGAUGCCUCCAAACGACGCGGAGUGAGCCCCUCUUCGUUUCGCCCCUAUCCCGUCGUUCCGCACGUUCUCUAGCGCUAACACCGCCGUGCCCGAAUCUCACCACUGCCGUGCCAUGUCGCUGCCGCGGCCAGAGCUGCCUAUGCCCGCUUUUGAGCGUGUCGCCGUUCUCACCGUGCUCUCAGGAGCCGAACGCAUGCACAAGCUCCUGCUGUCGUGCUCCCUAACACCGACUCUGAGCUCACCCGAGCUCCAGCGACCGCCAAGGUCAUCGCCGGCGACAACUCCGGCCACCCCAGGCCCAACUGCCACCACCACCCAAUGCGGACGUGCGUCCGCAUCACGUAGAUGCCUCCGCCGGCCGUUUGGUCUCCGGAGAAACAAACCCGAGGCUCGCCACCGUGGUUGGCCUCGCCGGUGUCAAGCCGCUGGUGGGUUUGAUCCUGCUGACCCGGGUUGACCUUAUUUGACCCCCCCAGGGUCGCUGACAAGUGGGCCCAGGGCCCCAGCUAAUCCUAGUUUAGUUUUUUAUUAAGUCUAAUUACUCCACUGACAUUUUUAGUUAGUAGUAGUUUAACACUAAUUAAUUUAGAUUAGUUAGUUAGUCACUAACUUGUGGACCCCAUACGUAAGGUUUGACCUGGACCCGGCUCCGUUGACCCGCUGACGUCACACUGACGUCAGGCUGACGCAGCAAAUCAUUUUCUGGAUUUAUUCUUUUAUGAAAUUCCAGAAAAUGGUCAAAACUUCUAAAAAUCAUAGAAAUUCAACCAUAACUCCAAAUGAAAUAAUUUAUAUAUGAAAAAUUAUCAGAAAAAUCCAAUCUAUCCAUCUGUACUAUUUUCAUGCAUGUUAGAACAACUUAUGACUGCUGUUUAGGACAAUUCAAUUAAAUGGCAUUUAAAUAACCACAUGUGGAGUUUGAAUUUGAAUCUUGGAUUCAAACCAACUUCAUUUAAUCUGGUUUUAGUUGCAUUAGUACAAACCACAGCAUAUUGCCAUGUCACAUUCAUGCAUCAUAUUGUUGCAUUGCAUUGAUUGUGUUUCUUCUUUGUUUGUCGGUGCUUGUCCCCUCUCAGUAGACGUGUACCGACGAUGUGAUCGAUGACACUGAUGAAGAACUAUACUAUCUUCAGAAGUGCCAGGCAAGCAAAACCCCCUUGUUCAUUCUGAUACAAUCCCACUCUCUCGCUCCUGCUCUCUUUUACUGCAUUAGGACAACAACGAUUCAUCUGUUACUUUCCGCGGUAGUUGAACCCCCCUUAUCCUCUGCAUGACCUAUCAUUGCCACAGUAAAUAGAUGAAACCCACUAGCAUGAGUAGGAGUUGUUUGAGCCCCGAUGUGCCUACUCAUUCAUGCUUGUUUGUCAUGCCUGCUACUGCUUAGAGUUGAGUCAGGUCUGAUUCAUCGGGGAUGAAUUGGAAAGUGGUGAACAUGUCCUACUGUUGAGAGCUAAGUGUGUGAACAUGAUUUGGUAAAGGUAGCGGUGAGAGGCCAUGUAGGAGUACAUGGUGGGUUGUCUCAUUGAAACUGUCCUCAGGAACUGAGUUCUGUGUUUGUGAUCCAUGAACAGCUACUACCACACAUUGGGAUCCUUAAUUGACUCUCUCGACUUAUUAAUCAACCUGAUCUCUGUCCAGGAGUUGCAACUAGUUUCUGGUGUUUGUAGGUAGUGUUAGUAGUCUACCAAGUGACACCUAGCACAGGUGGGCUUGGGACAGACUAGGCACCAUGGCACGGUGUACCAAGCGGAGAUCCACCCGUCGAGGUGGGCUUGGGAACCCUGCUCACAUCGUUUGGGGCCGUGAGCGACACCCCGGCCGGAUCACCUUGAAGAUGGAACCCGAAUAGGCGAUAAACCUGGAUGAGAGACUUGUGUGGUUAGUCAGGUUGUGGCCGACUCCCUCGCCAGGCUUCCGCUUGAAGGUUGCCGAGAUACACGAGGAGUACACGGUGGUAAGUGGCGAGAGCGUGUGUGAAGAAGUACACCCCUGCAGGGUUAAUAUGAUCUAUUCGAAUAGUCGUGUCCGCGGUAAAGGACUUCUGGGUUGCCUAUACAGUUCAUAGACAAGUGAAAGUGGAUACUCUAAAAUACGCAAAAUAAGCGUGAGUGCUAUGGAUGGUGUUCUCGUAGGGAGACGGGAGCGGAUCCAUAGUGGUGUAUUGAUAUGGUGAAUAUGUGGACUCGUGUGCGCCACCUCAAAAGAGUUACUUGCAGUCAUAGUUUAGGAUAGCCACUGAGUCAAAGCUGGCUAGUUGCAGUUAAACCCCACCAUCCCCUUUGUUGAUAAUGACGCAUAUGUAGUUAGUUCUGAUGUAAGUCUUGUUGGGUACAUUUGUACUCACGUUUGCCUAUUUUAUGUUUUUGCAGAGAGACUUCAGUCACACUAGUAGUUCCACGUGAACUUCGACGUUUUGCUUGUUACCUCAGCUACGAUCUUAUGCCCUCGGCAGGAUCUGGUAGUUAGUCAGGCUUCUUAGCCUUUUUCAUUUGGAGUUGUCUGUACUCAGACAUGUUAAGCUUCCGCAUGUUCUUUGACUUGUAUGCUCUGAAUGUUGGGUCGUGAGACCCAUGUUUGUAAUAUCUUGCUCCUCGGAGCCUAUUGAAUAAAAUACUUGAGUUGUAGAGUCAUGUUGUGAUGCCAUGUUGUAUUUGCACAUAUCGAGCAUAUUGUGUGUAUGCUAUUGAAAUGCUUGGUAUGUGUGGGAUCUGACUAUCUAGUUGUUUAUCCUUAGUAGCCUCUGUUGGGGAUAUUACCACUAGGUGUAAACCGGCCAAGUUUGGGCCGGGUUAGCUCCGCUAGUGGUGUAGUCAUGAAAAGGCCCAAGGCCUGUAGUCGGUUUAGAACUUGUAGCUGUAAACCGGCCUAAUGUAUGACUUGUAUUAUAAGUUAGGAAUAGGGAGAUACCAACCGGGAUACGAGUAUGAACCGGUUGGGACUCUGCAAACCGACGGGCGUCACUCGUGUAUAUAAGGGGACGACCCGGCGGCGGUUCAGGACAGACAACAACAACUCGAGCCUAGGCGAAGCUUAUUUGCUCCCUAGCCAUCGAGACUACAUCAAUUCCAUCACAACUAGACGUAGGCUUUUACCUUCAUAGAAGGGGCCGAACUAGUAUAAAACCCUCGUGUCUUUGUGUCCGCUUUAACCCCUGCAAGUAAACCCGUAGCGAUGGCUCCACGACUAAGUCCUUAUGCUAGGACAUCUGCCGUGACCAAUCCACGACAGUUGGCGCCCACCGUGGGGCUAUCGCACGAUGGUUUGACGAUCUUGGAGGGCAAACUCAAAGGACUCGAAGGCUACGUCGUGGGCCGGAUGACCAAGAGUCGUCGCGGCCGGAUCUACAUCGACGAUGCCGGAUGGGGUCCCGAGGCCGAUUCAAUCGAGUAUGGAUACCGGGUUCCCUUCGGCGGCAUACACGUCUUCAUUGGCAAGAUCGGAGGGCCUGAGCCGGACAUCUGCACCGACCUCGUCGAGAUGGCUCAGCGCGCGCAACCGGCCCGGGCUAAACCGGCCGUGAAGCAUGUCUUCGUCGGAGUCACCCAUGGAGGGGAGUAUGAUACCGGUUCAGAGCACGAUAGCGAGACCGUCGUUUAUUCCGGCGAUGAAUCUUCAGCAGGAGAGACCGAGUCACUGUACCAGUUGCAGGAUGAUAUGAUCAGGGGCUGUUCCGACGGUGACCGUAUUCCGGACCCCCCAGGCCAGUUAAACCGGGUCGGUGUAUUCAUGGCCGGUACGCAGGCCGCAAACCUUUCUUCGACCGCAGCAGCAAUGCUUUCCGGUUCAGCGGCGGCGGCAGGGGCAGGAGGCCCGGUGCACCCGCCGGUUCAAGUUUUGUCAGAUCUGUUCGAUAUGUUGGCAGCACUUAUGGCGGUGGACAGCCCUGCAGAUCAGGGGGCCCAUAAUGCAGAAAUCACAAGGUGAAAGAGCAGAUCACGCAAGCCAAAGCGGAUCUGGCGGCAGAAAAGGAGCGUAUGGCUACAGAACGGGCCGCUUUAGAUGCGCAAGCUUACAAGCUCAUGCUCGACCAGAGUGCGUCACAGGAGGUGUUGAGGCGGAAGUACAGAUCGCGCCUGCCAUCAGGAUUUGACCCUAGAAGCCUCUUUCAGACCCCCGGAGCCGGACCCAGUAACCCGCCCCAGCACAGGGAGGUAAACCGGAUUGAGGCACCAGGAGCGGGAGCGACGGUCCAACCACGCCUGAUGGAGCCCCCACAGCAGAACACGGUAAUUCCUCCACCGGUACAGACACCCCCGGGCCAUUACUCCAACCCUAUGGACAACCUUGUUGCGGCUGCGGCACGAUUGGAGGCGAUCCCAGUCGAAGGAGAUUCCCCACAAGCAGUUGAGACACGCCGGGUUAAGGAGCUUCUCCGGACUGCACUGAUCCAGCAGGAAGCGUAUUCAUACAGCCGUGAUCGGAUUCACUCUACGCCCCGUCCAAGCCGGAGCUACAGCAGGCGCAUGGAUGAACCGGCCCUAUCAAGUAACGCGCGGGAACAUGAAGCGGCCCGAGGCAAUCACCAGAUAGGCGGCGUUCAUGAUGCUCAGGAGGUGGUGGAUCGGGCCCGGGCACGCAGAGAGGCUGAGUUAGCAGCGCAGGAUGAUGCGGAUCAACACACACCGGUUCGCCCGACCACCUUCGCCGGACCAGGAGUCACAUCCGCUUUGGGAGUGCCCUGUUUAAUCCCCGCUUUGCGCAAUGUGCGUCUGCCUAAGGAUUUUAAAGGCCCGCGCAAGGUGCCGAAUUACACUGCAGAUCUAUCCCCUGAAGCGUGGGUUGAGAGUUAUGAGAUGGCCAUGGAGAUGCUAGAUGUUGAUGAACUGCGUGUGCAAAGUACUUCACCAUGAUGAUGGAGGGCACAGCGCGCACUUGGUUGAAAAGCUUGCCGCCUAAUUCUAUCAGUUCAUGGGGUCAGUUACGGGCCCGGUUUAUCCAGAAUUUCAAGGAUACAUGUAAGCAGCCGAAGUCCAUAGUAGACCUGGCGACCUGCGUUCAAGAAGAAGGGGAGUCAACAACCCGUUGGGUACGCCGUGUGUCCGAGAUUUUGCACUCUUCGGACCGGAUCAAUGCUGACUCGGCGAUCAUAACAUUGGAAAGUAACUGCCGGUUUGAACCUUUGAAACUUAAGCUGGGACGUAUGAAGCGGUUCUGCAACGAUAUGGGAACCCUCAUGGCCGCUUUGGUAAAGUAUGCCGAUUCAGACAGCACCAAGGAUCCGGAAGCAGAUGAUGGCGAAGCAGGGAAAGGAAAGAAGAACGGCAACUCCAAGCAGCAGCAUUUCAAACCGGCGGGAUAUGGAAACGGGGGCAAGCGCAAGGCUGAUGGUAAUCCGGAUUUCGUAGCCAACGCUAAUGCGCAGGACAGAGGCCCGCGGCGCAGAGGCAAGGCGAAUCGGGGUCCAAAUGCUAGUGCAAGCCGUUUAAAUUACUUGUUGAAUCAGCCUUGUCCCAAGCAUGGAACGAAGGAAUCCCCGUCGACUCAUCUUUGGAAAGAUUGUUAUAUUAUGCAGGAGUUCAAAAAUUCCGAUGCUUUCCGAUAUGACCAGGGGUCAGGUGGCGGUUCAGGAUCCGGUUUCCACGGGCCAAGUCAGGACGGAGCUUCCGGUUCAGGGCAUAACCAGGGCAAUCUCAAUAAUCAGAGUAAUCAAGGUGGCCAGCAACAGCAGCAGCAGUCAGGCUAUCAGAGCCAACCGAAGCAGUUGAGUGGCGGGCAGUAUCACGUUUUCACAACCGGUUUGGACAAACGGGAUCGGAAGCUUCACAAACGGGCGGUAAACUCUGUUGAGCCGGCUUUGCCGCGGUAUUUGCGCUGGUCAGAGCAGCCUAUCGUAUGGAGCAGAGAGGACCAUCCCCCCCGGGUUGAUAAUCCGGGUCAGUUGGCUUUGGUGGUAGAUCCCCAGGUUGGGGGCUAUAAGUUUACUAAGGUACUUAUGGAUGGAGGAAGCAGCAUCAAUAUAUUGUAUUAUGACACUUUCCGUCGCAUGGGUCUCACAGAUAAAGAUCUCAGACCGUCCAAUACGGUGUUCCAUGGUGUAGUGCCUGGCAAAUCUGCUUAUCCUAUUGGUAAGAUAGCCCUGGAUGUGGCCUUUGGAGAUGAGCAUGAUUCCCGGUCUGAAAAGCUAACUUUUGAAGUGGUGAAAAUCCGGAGUCCAUAUCAUGCCUUGUUUGGGCGGCCAGCUUAUGCUAAGUUCAUGGCGCGACCUUGUUAUAUCUACUUGCAGCUCAAAAUGCCGGGUUACAAAGGAACAAUAACGGUGCAUGGAAGCCGCCGAGUCGCUUUGGAAUGUGAGGAAGGAGAUGCAGCUUAUGCAGAGGCGGUCUGUGCCACGGAGGAGUUGAAAUUUUAUAAGGACAAUGUUGAUCCGGCAGAUAUGACCCCUUUAAAGAAGCCCACUACAGAGCAUGAAUCAGAUUUGAAAUUUAAAUCGGCAGCUGAAACCAAGCUUGUUGACUUUGUGCCAGGCGAUUCGUCCAAGCAGUUCACUAUCAGUGCCAACCUGGAUCCCAAAUAGGAAGGCGCGCUCAUCGAGUUCAUCCGUGAGAACCGGGACAUCUUUGCAUGGAAGCCAUCUGACAUGCCGGGUGUACCGAGGGAACUCGCUGAGCACACACUUAAUGUGGAUCCUAAGUAUAAACCGGUAAAACAGUUCCUCCGCCGGUUUAAUGAAGAAAGAUGCAAGGCCAUUGGGGAAGAGGUAGCCAGGCUUCUGGCAGCUGGCUUUAUCAUCGAGGUGUUUCAUCCAGAGUGGCUUGCUAAUCCGGUGCUGGUCCUUAAGAAAAACGGCACCUGGCGUAUGUGUGUGGACUACACAGAUCUUAACAAGGCUUGUCCAGCAGAUCCUUUUGCUCUCCCCCGCAUUGAUCAGAUUAUUGAUGCCACGGCAGGAUGUGAGCGGUUAAGCUUUUUGGACGCAUACUCUGGAUAUCAUCAGAUCAAGAUGGCAGUUAAGGACCAGGAGAAAACGGCGUUUAUAACUCCCUUUGGAGCCUUCUGCUAUGUAUCUAUGCCUUUUGGGCUCAAGAGUGCCCAAGCUACUUAUCAGCGGUGUGUACAGAAUUGCUUGCAUACACAGAUCGGCCGCAAUGUGCAUGCUUAUGUGGAUGACAUUGUGGUGAAAUCAAGACAGAAGGAGACGCUGGUGGAAGAUUUGAAGGAGACCUUCGACAACCUGCGCAUUUAUAAGAUGAUGCUUAAUCCGGCCAAGUGUGUUUUUGGUGUUCCGGCUGGCAAGUUAUUGGGGUUCCUGGUGUCUAACAGAGGAAUCGAGGCUAAUCCGGAGAAAAUUAAAGCCAUCACCUCCUUGGCUAAACCAAAGUGUCUCAACGAUGUUCAACGCUUGGCGGGCCGGAUUGCGGCAUUGAGCCGGUUUAUCAGCCGCCUUGGAGAGAAGGCCAUUCCUUUAUACCAGAUGCUGAGGAAGACAGAUCAUUUUAUCUGGAGUCCAGCUGCUGACGAAGCUUUCGAGGACCUAAAGCGGCAAUUGGCCAACCCGCCUGUCCUUGCGGCUCCGGUUGACAAGGAACCACUGUUAUUAUAUGUGGCAGCCAAUGCACGAGCGGUGAGCGUAGCCAUUGUGGUAGAGCGCAAGGAGGCGGGAAAGGAAUAUCCGGUUCAACGGCCGGUUUAUUAUAUCAGUGAAGUACUUAUUGAAUCCAAGCAGAGGUAUCCGCAUUGGCAGAAGCUAGUCUAUGGUGUUUUUGUGGCCAGCCGGAAGCUGAAACAAUAUUUCCUAGGGCAUCCUAUUACAGUGGUUAGUUCAGCUCCUUUGGGUGAUAUCAUACAAAACCGGGAGGCGACUGGCCGGAUUGCAAAAUGGGCCAUCGAGCUUGGGCCGCAUGGGCUCAAGUAUACACCACGCACAGCAGUGAAAUCACAAGCACUUGUUGAUUUCAUUAAUGACUGGACGGAGUUACAAGCACCAGAGGAGAAGCCGGAUCAUACAUACUGGACUAUCCACUUCGAUGGAUCCAGGCAGUUGGAAGGCUCGGGGGCUGGAGUCGUUUUAACUUCCCCACGAGGUGAUAAGUUUUGUUACGUUCUCCGCUUAAUGUUCCCUUGUACUAAUAAUGCAGCUGAGUACGAAGCCUUGCUCCAUGGUCUCCGGAUGGCUAAGGAGAUGAACUUAAGCCGGGUUAAGUGCUUCGGUGACUCGGACCUGGUGGCUCAGCAAGUAUCUGGCACCUGGGAUUCUAAGGACCCCCUCAUGGCCGCAUAUCGUCGAGAGGUGGAUAACAUUGCAGGUUGCUUCAAGGGCUAUCAAGUGGAUCAUGUGGAUCGCCGGAAGAACGAAGCGGCAGAUGCUUUAAGCCGUUUGGGUUCUCAGCGUAAACCGGUGCCACCUAAUGUCUUUCUGGACGUCUUGCACAACCCGUCGGUACAGCUCCCUGGUGAAGCGGAUUUGGCGAUUCCUGAUCCGGAGGCUCAGUUGGUGGCGGCAUUACAUGCUAUUCCGGAUUGGACGGUUCCUUACAUUGCAUAUAUGACUAGAGGAGAGUUGCCAGACGAUGAGGUUCUGGCCAGACAGAUAAUCCGGCGCUCCAAGUCUAUGACGAUUCUUAAUGGUGAGUUGCAUCAUUGCAGUGUUUCAGGGGCGUUUCAACGCUGUGUUUCCCCUGACGAAGGUUGUGAAAUUUUACGAGAAAUCCAUGAAGGGGAUUGUGGGCAUCAUGCCGGUUCAAAGUCCCUGGUGGCGAAGGCAUUCCGUCAUGGAUUCUACUGGUUAACUGCUCAUGCUGAUGCGGAGGAUUUGGUCAAACGGUGCGAUGGGUGUCAGAAAUUCUCCAGGCGUGUCCAUGUACCGGCACAAGAGUUGCGGAUGAUCCCAAUAACGUGGCCGUUUGCGACAUGGGGGCUGGAUAUGGUCGGGCCUUUUAGGCGAUCCAAAGAUAAGAAGACCCACCUGUUAGUGGCAGUGGACAAAUUCACCAAGUGGGUUGAAGCGGAACCUGUCAGUAAGUGUGAUGCGGCAACAGCGGUACAGUUCAUCAAAAAGGUGAUUUUCCGGUUUGGCUUUCCACACAGUAUCAUUACUGACAAUGGCACUAAUCUGUCCAAGGGAGCUAUGAAAGAAUUCUGUGAACGUGAGCAUAUCCGGCUUGAUGUAUCAUCAGUGGCGCACCCCCAGUCCAACGGGCAGGCAGAGCGUGCUAAUCAGGAAAUCUUGCGAGGCAUCAAACCACGACUUCUGGUUCCAUUACAGAGAACACCAGGGUGCUGGGUUGAAGAGCUCCCAUCGGUACUAUGGAGUAUCAAUACUACGCCAAACCGGUCUACUGGCUACACGCCUUUCUUCAUGGUUUAUGGAGCAGAAGCAGUUCUCCCCAGUGAUAUCAGGCACGAUUCGCCCCGUGUAGCGGCUUAUGUUGAAGCGGACAAUGAAGCGGCACGACAGGACGCUCUGGACCUACUGGAUGAGGAGCGUGAUAUGGCAGCUGCUCGGUCGGCGAUUUACCAGCAAGAUCUUCGUCGUUAUCACAGUCGCCGGGUUAAAACCAGAGCCUUUCAGGAAGGAGAUUUGGUGCUUCGUCUCAUCCAAGACCAGACAGAUAUGCACAAGCUAUCCCCACCUUGGGAAGGACCCUUUGUGGUCAGCAAGAAUCUGCACAACGGUUCCUACUAUCUGGUUGAUAUUCGAGAGCAUAAAGACUCACGUACAUCAGAGGAGGAGACCAAUAGGCCGUGGAAUGUAGCUCAUCUUCGACCUUACUACACAUGAGUCAUCGGCUCAGUUGAUGUACAUAGCAUAACAAUGUAUAUAUUAUCUUCGAUAUAAUAAAAAUCAGGGCCUCAGCUAAAGCGGGGUCUCUGUCUUUCUUCUCAUGUGUGGUUACACGGAGUGUUUCUGUUUUUAAAGCGGCCUCCGGUUUACCCCUUGAUAGUUAUAUUUAUCACUUGGGGGCUUGGUCGUGUCCGAACCAAUGCAACACCUCUUGAUAGGCGAAAGCCACCAGAUCAUUUGGGGACACGGUCACGUCUGAACCGGUCACGCCUCUUGGUCGGCCAAUAGGGCCAGCGUCACUUGGGGGCUUGGUCGAACCCGAACCAAUGUCACGCCACUUGGCCGGCGUACUCGCCAAGAGUCUUUUGGGGACCUGGCCGACUAGCACCAUCGCUACGCCUUCGGGGGGCUUGGUUGCGUCUGACCAUGGUAAUGCCAUCUGACCAGCUCCAUGAAGCUUUACUUUCGCAAAGAGUUAUUGCCUUUGUUGCCAUAUUUGGUGUUCGAUUUUUGUUGCGUUUUCAAUACCCGACGAAUAUUUUUAUCCGGUUUAGCUGUCAGUAACAAACUGACAGAACACGGUUUGGUAUUACACCGAAGUUUUUCUCUUUCCGGUUUACCUUUUUCCGGUUCAUCCUCAUGGAGAAACAUGGGGGCUUGUGCUGAUUCAGCACGCCUAUGUAGGGGUUAUUGUUUCCCCAGACGGUUAUGGUCUUUAAAAGGCCUCCGUUUCAAGAUUGGCUACACCAGCUUCAUGCCUAGAUAUGGCAGGUAUUUGUAUCACAUACUAAUUGAUUUUCAAUAGAUAAAAUAUAUUGGAUGCCAUAAACCGGCUGGCAGUAUCAUCGCCGCCGAAGUUCAAUUUUUUGGUUGCAGGGAGUAUGAAUCAAACAAAAGUUUCCACGAUGCACGAAGGCAUACCCAGACAGCAAAGUUUUGACUAAGGCUAUUACAAGGCAAUACAGUGCCCAAAUGAGAUCAGUGUUUCUUAAACCAGGCUACCGGUUCACGACUGUUCUUCAUCCUCCGCCGCUUCAGCAUCUUCAUCUCUACCCAUCGGCUGGAAAUCCACAGAAGUCCAGUCGAUUCCCAUCAGCGCUUGAAAAACAGCUUCUUCGUGAAUCAAAGACGACGGUUCAAUGUCAGGUGCGUAGGUAUGCUUACGGAUUGGAGGAAUCAAGUUUUCCGGUUCAAAGGUUGGAGCGGACACACGCUUGUUCUGCUCGUUAUAUUGGGCUUGGUAGUGUUCCAAAUCGGCUUCUUCGGCCAACUGACAAGCUAGCGGGCGUACCGCCCGGUUUAUCGCACGCAAAUCCUCUUCAUUAAAGUCCGAGCCGUCUUCCUUCACACUGGGGUAGCCUUGAGCUGCUUCCACAGGAUCAAAAUCAGGCACCCAGGCUUUGGCUCGGAUCAAGGCGUUGAUGGCUCCGGUUCGUGCAGCAGACUUCUUUACCUCCUCAAUCCGGGAAGGCAGGAUGGAUAGCCGGUUCAAGGUAUCUUGGAUCAGGGACGGCGCUGGAUUGUUAUGUGACAUGGUGGUAAUCACGCGCUGGGCUCCGGUAUAUAGCUGCUCCACUAAAGUGUAGACAGCCUUCAGUUUCUUCCGCACGUCGUUCCCCAAGUGCCCAACGCGUGUGCCUGCAUUUGAUAACAGUAUAGUUUUAAACCGGAAUACUGGAGCAGCAGGAAAAGUAAAUUACACCUAUUCACAGGGAACUUACCGAAGAUGGCUGCCGUCAUGGAAUGCACUUGCCGCUUCACGGCUGUCAGAUCAUCCACCACCGGUUUAAGGGCAGCUUCAGCAUUCUCUGCCCGUUUGAGCAAGUUGGCCUUUUCAGUGGCCCAGACAGCCUGUUCCUUCUUCAUGUUAUCCUUUGCUUGUUCUGCAGCAGUCAGGGCACUGGUUAGCUCCUUCUUGGCUUUGUCUGUCUCGGCCUGCUGGGUCGUCAAUGCCGCCUGUAAAUCGGCAAUCCGAUCAUCCUUGAUUUUCACCUCAGCCUGCAUAUUGACAGUAUGGUCAGCCAGCAAUUAAAAGUUCAAGUCUCAACCACACAACAUAGUUAUAUGCUUGACACUUGGGGGCUAAUGUACCUUCAAUUUUUCUACUGAUAAUACAUGGAAAAGUCCCAAGUUCAAUACGAGUAUUCAACUCAGCACUUGGGGGCUAAUGGUUAUUUGAUUCUAUUAAAGUGUCGUCAGGAAGUUUUUGGAGUGCCGGUUUAAGUAUGCAUAAUUAAACCGGCCCUGAUGGUUAUGAGGGAAGAUUGCAAAGUCUAUCAAAGAAAGUUAUCAAGUACCAAUUUGAUCAAAGAUAGCAAACCGGCCCUUGGGGGCUACAAGGAUUACUAUAUUGGUAAUAAGGAAAGGAGCGUUACCUCAAACUUAUCUCUCAUCAGUUUCACCAAGCCAGCUUCAUAAUCACGGCUACUGUAAAGCCGGUUUAGAUAUCCGGAAUGAAGGUCUUGGGCGCUCAUAGCGGCGUAUGUUUCCAGCUCUACAUUCCACUUUCCCUUGUUAAAAGUGGAAGAGUCCUCUUUCACAGUAUGCCGGGUUAGAGUUGCAGCAUUCCCCGGUUCAGAGUGGCCCGUUCCAGUGAUUACAACGUCGUCAUCCUUCGAUUCGACGGAUCGUGUGGGCACACCUGUUUCAGUUGGAUUAUGAGGAUUUUCAAACCGGACAGUACGGGCGGCUGGAUCAACAGACAUUGAAACAGUCGCAGGCCUCUCCUCAGGAAUCACAUCUUCUUGAACCGGGGGAUCACUCGGAAUGUCUUCAAAGGCAACAUUUUCGAGAUCCGGUGCCUGUUCAUGAUCUGAAGCGGCAGCCUCUUCAGCUGUUUUCUCCAAGCGAGCUUUCUUGCUGGGUUUCGGUUUGGUUCUGAAGAAACAAAAGAUUCAGAAAUAAGGCACAUACAUUACAGAAGAAAUCAACAAGCAUAUGACUGUAUGAACUUACCCGACGGCUAUCUUCAAAGGUGGUAGCUGAGUGGCUGAUGAUUCGCUAGAGGACGAAUGGGAGGUGACCUGAUAAUCGGAGUCGGACGGAUUAAGAGGUUGACGGAAUAAACCCGCUUUGGAAUUCAAGGUAAUAAAAAGGUUGGAAACCUCGGUGCGGCGCUUUCGAGCCGGGCUGUUUGGUAAACCGGCAGAGGUAACUACCUGUCCGCUAUGCCGGGUUGUGCGGCGGGCCUCAUGCUGCUGUGUCUUCAUAAGAAGUUUGGGAUCCAAGUAAGCAAGAGGGUGAGAAAAGUUAACUUUCCGGUUUGCCCGGCGAAAUUUUGGUGAAGGCAAAUUUGUUGAAUCAGAAGAGAGAAUGGUUACCUCAGCAAAUCCUGUGUUGCUGGCUUCAGCGUCAUCCUGACAAGCAUCGUCAUCAAUAAGACGUGUAAAAAACAAGCCAAGAGAAUCAAGUUCCGGAUUACCCACAUCAUCAUCGAUGGCCGGAUCAGACGAAGCCGUGGUUUUCCUCUUAUGGGCGGAUUUCUUGACAACUUUCGUUUUGGGCCGGUUUUGCCGCCCAGCCUUGUCCGCUUUGUCUUGAGAGAGUUUCUUGCUCCAAAACGGAUUAUCACCCUGGAUCAGAAAUAAUUGAGAGUUGGAAGUAUGAAAGUAAUAGCAGUAUUUAAUAAUAACACAGUCAGAGACUUACCGCAGGAGGUGCGUUGAAAGUGCAGUAAGGAGCCAAGCCGGUUUGGGCACAAAGGUGCUCCGGUUCAUUCAGCAUCUUCCUCACUGAAUCCGUGACUUCAUCUUCAGACAGUUCCAGUUUGGUGUGUCGGAGUGGGUCAUCGACGCUGCCGGUAUACUGGCACAUCAAACCGGAACGCCGGCUUAGAGGCAAUAUGCCCCAAGAUAACCAGCAGCGUGCCAAAUCGAUCCCAGUCAAACCGUUGGCCAUGAAGGCCCGAAGCUUGGAUAGCUGUGGAGCAUAUUUGCUUCUCUCUUUGGCAGUCAAUCGUUGCGGAAAGGGAUGAGUGUUGCUGAGCCGCUCUGGACGAAAAACAGGUAAAGGAUUUUCACCUUCAGGGGAAGUGUCUUUGCAGUAGAACCAAGUCGCGUUCCACUCUUUGGGAUGAGUGUGGAGUUUGACGUGGGGAUAAGUGAUCUCCUUCCUCUUCUGGAUAGCCAUACCGCCCAAUUCGGUAUUGGGGCCAUCGGUGAAUUCGGUGCGGCGGUUUAGGUGGAAGAGAUCCCUGAACAGUUCAACAGAGGGCUCCUCUUGCAGAUAUGCUUCGGACAGCACUUGAAAAUGGCAUAGGUUGGUGACAGAAUUGGGGCCGAUAUCUUGGGGGCGGAGUUGAAAAUUAGCCAUCACGUCCCGGUAAAAUUUUGACCCGGGCGGUUUGAAACCCCGGGCCAAGUGAUCUGCAAAAACCACAACUUCUCCUUCCUGAGGUGUGGGAGGACAUUCCUCUCCGGGAACCCUCCAAUGGAUUGUAUUUCGGUCAUCUAAAGCGCCAAUCGACACUAACUCAUUCAGUUGUGUCUCAGAGACGCGGGAAGGGACCCAGUUGCAUUCGUACACCUGUUUGGCCAUCAUAAGAUCUACAAGGAGAAGGAUCCGGUUUAAGAAGGCGUUAUUUGCAGAGUGGUUGAUUUAAGCUAUGAUAAACCGGAGGCGUUUCCUACGAGUCAGUUCGUUAUGAUAUGAUAUCAGGUAUGAACUAGGCGGUUCAACAAGGGGACUAAUGGUAUGCCGGUUCCGGUUUAGCAAUUUUUUACUAUGGUGAGUUAAACCGCCUAAUCUUGGUUUCGAAGGUAAUGGACAGAAACAGGUUUCACAAGAUUUCAUGUUUAUUAUGGAUCAAACGCGAGUUUUCAGAAACCAGGAAAAGUGUCGUGAAAGUAAAGAAGAAACAGGAAUGCACCAUAAGGUAUAUAUGUAUAUAUGCAGAAGAUCUAUGGGAUUCAGAUGAGAAGAUCUAUGUAUAUACGCAUGUUCUUUGACUUGUAUGCUCUGAAUGUUGGGUCGUGAGACCCAUGUUUGUAAUAUCUUGCUCCUCGGAGCCUAUUGAAUAAGAUACUUGAGUUGUAGAGUCAUGUUGUGAUGCCAUGUUGUAUUUGCACAUAUCGAGCAUAUUGUGUGUAUGCUAUUGAAAUGCUUGGUAUGUGUGGGAUCUGACUAUCUAGUUGUUUAUCCUUAGUAGCCUCUCUUACCGGGAAAUGUCUCCUAGUGCUUCCACUGAGCCAUGGUAGCUUGCUACUGCUCCGGGACACUUAGGCUGGCCGGCAUGUGUCCUUCUUCGUUCCUGUGUCUGUCCCUUCGGGGAAAUGUCACACGAUGAAUACCGGAGUCCUGUUAGCCCGCUACAGCCCGGUUCACCGGAGUCCUGCUAGCCCAGUGCUACAGCCUGGAUUCACUCGCCGAUGACCGACACGUUCGUUGCUGGGUCAUGGAUGCCUGUCCCUGUAAGUUUGUGCCACUUUGGGUUUUCGACUAGCCAUGUCAGCCCGGGCUAAUUAUCAUAUGGAUGCUAGCGACACUAUCAUAUACGUGUGCCAAAACUCGCAAAUGGUCCCGGGCAAAGGUAAGGCGACACCCGUGGGGAUACCGUGCGUGAGGCUGCAAAGUGAUAUGAGGUGUUACAUGCUAGAUCGAUGUGGCAUUGAGUCGGGGUCCUGACAAUGGGUCUCCGGAAUAAUAUUCGGUUGGGGGCCGAAUUGAGCAUGGCCCCCGUCGUCGGUCUCCAUGGGGAUUGAUUUCCCCCUCUCUUCGGCAACAGAGAUAUUACCCUCCGUUGCCACCUUCACGGCCUCCUGCACCUACCGUGACCUGGAGAGGUUCUUCGGGACAACACUUCAGUGUUGUGUGUAGCGGUGGGGGAGAAACCAACGGAGGAGAUUUGCUCUCCAUCGCGUUCGGCCCUAGCGAGUUCCCAGUUGACGAUGAUCGUUUAGGGAGACCACGGGCUGGGCUGCAACAUGUAAUUCAAUAUAUUAGAAACACAAGGCAUGAAAUCGGCUAUAUGAACGGUGUCUUUGGAUACUUACGAUGCGGCCAGGGGCUUUAGCCUGGGGUGCCACUUGGGGAUGGCUUCGGCAUCCGUUUCGGAGUCAUCCGAAAGGGAGGGUUUCCCCUUCUCAGAUGCUUCUGCCUCUAGAUCCAUGGAAGCCACCCUUUUCUUCUUUCCCCCUUAAGGGGAGAGUUGCUCUCUUCCUCCUCUACAUCUUCGUCAUGAGAGGAGGAGGACUUGGUGUAUUCAGACACGAUGUUCGAAGCACCCUUACGGCGGAGGCCACUUCUGGCCUCCUUGCCCUUCUUCUUGGCCUUCUUCUCUGGUGCCUGAUACGGCGCCGGAACCAGCAUCUUCGCUAGCAAGGGGGUGGCCUGGUCCUCGAGCGGCAGAGCUGGACAUUUGAUUUGCUCCGCCUUCUUUGUCCAUCCCUAUGUGAGUAAGAAAGUUCAAUAUACUCCUUGGAUUUGCAAAUAAAGUUAUCAUAAAACUUACGGGAGUGGCUGGACGUGCGUAGUCAAGGCCGCGGUCUUCGGUUGUCUCCGACUAUGACUUUUGAGCCUUGAAGAGCAGCUUCCAUAUGUCUUCGCGCGUCGCAUCGAGGAACCACUGCAGGGUCCGAGGACCGACCGGGUCGAAUUCCCACAUAUAUUGAGUCUGGUGUUGACAAGGAAGAAUCCGGCAAAAAAGCAUCACCUAGAUCACGCUGGCAAGGCUGAUGUUCUUGUUUAUCAUGCCCUUGACGCGACUCUCCAGCGUCGUCACCUCGUCAGGUGACUCCCAAUCUAAACCCUUAUUGAGCCAAGAUGUAAGCCGCAUCAGGGGUCCGGACUUGAACUCAGGAGCGGCGGCUCAUGUGAUAUCGCGGGGUUCCGUGAUAUAGAACAACCCCUGCUGCCAUCCCUUGACGGAUUCCACAAAGGUCCCCUUUGGCCAGGUGACAUUGGGAAGUUUGCUCACCAUGGCGCCAUUGCACUCCGCGUGUUGGCCUUCGACCACCUUCGGCUUCACAUUGAAGACCUUGACCCAUAGGCCAAAGUGGGGAGGGACGUGGAGGAAUGCCUCUCACAUGACGAUAAACGCCGAAAGGUUGAGGAAGGAAUUUGGGGCUAGAUCAUGAAAGUCUAAUCCAUAGUAAAACAUGAGACCGCGGACAAAAGGAUGAAGGGGAAACCCUAGUCCGUGAAGGAAAUGGGGGAUGAACACCACCCUUUCAUUAGGCUUCGGAGUGGGAACGAUCUAUUUUUUGGCAGGGAGCCGGUGGACUAUGUCUGUGGCCAAGUACCCAGCUUCGCGAAGCUCCUUGAUGUUCUCCUCUGUAACAGAGGAAGCCAUCCACUUGCCAUGCUCUCCAGAUAUGGACAUGGCUAGGAGUGUUUGGUGGCGGUGCAAAGGAUUGGGACUUGGGUGCUGGAGCUCGAAUGCCAAAUAGGCAGAGGAGGAAGAAGGCGUGAGGUAAAAAGAUGGAUCUUUGUCUUCUUAUAAAGGCAGUGGAUAUCAAGUGUCCCCUCUGGAGCCUUAAAUAUCGCCUAUUCCCAAAGGGACGUGUGAACGGCACGGUUGGAUUACCCAAACCCCUGUAAUGACAAUCACGUGAUUAGGGGACACGAUCCCCGCUUUGACAAGACGUGCCUAUGACCAUGCCUCGAAACAUGAAGCGAGGGUUGUAAAAUGGUUCAGAAUACUAAUAAGGCCAGGACAUAAUGCCUCACCGGUAAAAUCUCCUAUGGGAGUGGCUUUCUUUGUUUCGAGUAUUUGUUGCCCUUACAGCUUGAAGUUGUAAUUAUUAAACAGAGCCGGAUACAGCUAUCAUGCGCGAAGGACUAUUUUGGAGUAUUCGGAGAAGGAACCAGCCUUGCAAUGCCAAAGACAAUCUACGCGCCGAAUACGUCGUCAUUGAAGCUUGGUUCAGGGGCUAUUGAGGGAGUCCUGGAGUAAGGGGUACUCGGGCGUCCGGGCUAUGUGAUAUGGGCCAGACUAAUGGGCCAUGAAGAUAUGAGAUUAAAGACCUUUCCCCGUGUCCGGAUGGACUCUCCUUUGCGUGGAUGGCAAGCUUGGCGUUUGAAUCAUGCACCUUCCUUUCUCUGUAAACUGACUUUGUACAACCCUAGAUCCCUCCGGUGUCUAUAUAAACCGGAGGGCUUAGUCGAUAGGGAGGGGAAUCAUAAUCAUACAGGCUAGACAUCUAGGGUUUAGCCAUUACGAUCUCGAGGUAGAUCAACUCUUGUAACCCCUAUACUCAUCAAAGUCAAUCAAGCAGGAAGUAGGGUAUUACCUCCAUUAAGAGGGCCCGAACCUACGUAAACAUCGUGUCCCCUGCCGCCUGUUACCUUCGAUCCUUAGACGCACAGUUCGGGACCCCCUACCUAAGAUUUGACGGUUUUGACACUGACAUCCUACCCCCCCCCCCGGGCGCGCCCUCCACCCAUGUGGCUGUCUCGUGGCUCCUCCGACUUCAUCUCCAAGUCUCCUGGUUUGCUUCUGGUCCAAGAAAGAUCAUCGCGAAAGUUUUAUUCCAUUUGGACUUCGUUUGGUAUUCCUUUUCUGCGAAACUCUAAAAUAGGCAAAAAAACAAAAACUGGCACUAGGCUCUAGGUUAAUAGGUUAGUCCUAAAAAUAAUAUAAAAAUAGCAUAUUAAUGCAUGUAAAACAUCCAAAACAGAUAAUAUAAUAGCAUGGAACAAUCAAAAUUAUAGAUACAUUGGAGAUGUAUCAAGCAUCCCCAAGCUUAAUUCCUACUCGUCCUCGAGUAGGUAAAUGAUAAAAACAGAAUUUUUGAUGUGGAAUGCUACCUAACAUAUUUAUCAAUGUAAUCUUCUUUAUUGUGGCAUGAAUGUUCAGAUCCGUAAGCAAUCAUGUCUAAUAUUGACACAAAAGUUUAAUAUUGACAUAAAAACAAUAAUACUUUGAGCAUACUAAUAAAGCAGUCAUGUCUUCUGAAAAUAACAUGGCCAAAGAAAACUAUCCCUACAAAUCAUAUAGGCUGGCUAUGCUCAAUCUUCAUCACACAAAGUAUUUAAAUCAUGCACAACCCCGAUGGCAAGCCAAGCAAUUGUUUCAUACUUUUGAUGUUCUCAAAAAAUUUCAACUUUCACUCAAUACAUGAGUGUGAGCCAUGAAUAUAGAACUAUGGUCGAAGAGAAUAUGGUGGUUGUGGAGAAGACAAAAAGAGGGAGAUAGUCUCGCAUAAACUAGGUGUAUCAAUGGGCUAUGGAGAUGCCCAUCAAUAGAUAUCAAUGUGAGUGAGUAGGAACUGCCAUGCAACGGAUGCACUAGAGCUAUAAGUGUAUGAAAGCUCAAAAAGAAACUAAAUGGGUGCGCAUCCAACUUGCUUGCUCACGAAGACCUAAGGCAAUUUCAGGAAGCCCAUCAUUGGAAUACACAAGCCAAGUUCUAUAAUGAAAAAUUCCCACUAGUAUAUGAAAGUGAUAUCAUAGGAGACUCUCUAUCAUGAAGGUCAUGGUGCUACUUUGAAGCACAAGUGUGGAAAAAGGAUAGUAACAUUACCCCUUCUCUCUUUUUCUCUCAUCAUUUUUUUAUUUAGGCCUUUCUCAUCAUUUUUGGCCUCCUUUUUUUAUUUUGCGUCCAGAGUCUCAUCCCGACUUGUAGGGGAAUCAUAGCCUCCAUCAUCCUUUCCUCACAUGGGACAAUGCUCUCAUAAUGAAGAUCAUCACACUUUUAUUUACUUACAACUCAAGAAUUACAACUCGAUAUUUAGAACAAGAUAUGACUCUAUAUGAAUGCCUCCGGCGGUGUAACCGGAUGUGGAAUAAAUCAAGACUGACAUGUAUCAAAGAAUUAUGAAAGGUGGCUUUGCCACAAAUACAAUGUCAACUACAUGAUCAUGCAAAGCAAUAUGACAAUGAUGAAGCGUGUCAUAAUGAACGGAACUGUGGAAAGUUGCAUGGCGGUAUAUCUCGAAAUGGCUAUGGAAAUGCCAUAAUAGCUUGGUAUGGUGGUUGUUUUGAGGAAGGUAUAUGGUGGGUGUAUGGUAUCGGCGUAAGUUGCGCGACACAAGAGAGGUUAGCAAGGGUGGAAGGGUGAGAGUGCGUAUAAUCCAUGGACUCAACGUUAGUCACAAAGAACUCAUAUACUUAUUGCAAAAAUCUAUUAGUUAUCGAAAUGAAGUACUACAAACAUGCUCCUAGCGGGAUAGAUUGGUAGGAAAAGACCAUCGCUCGUCCCCGACCGCCACUCAUAAGGAAGACAAUCAAAAAAUAAAUCAUGCUCCAACUUCAUCACAUAACGAUUCACGAUACGUGCAUGCUACUGGAAUCACAAAUCCUAACACAAGUAUCUCUCAAAUUCACAACUACUCAUUGGCAUGAUGCUAAUAUCACCAUCUUCAUAUCUCAAAACAAUCAUAAAGAAUCAAAAUUCUCAUAAUAUUCAAUGCACUUUAUAUGAAAGUUUUUAUUAUAUCCAUCUUGGAUGCCUAUCAUAUUAGUACGUACUAAAUUUAUAACCAAACCAAAUUACCAUGCUAUUCUAAUGACUCUCAAAAUAAUAUAAGUGAAGCAUGAGAGUUCCACAAUUUCUAUAAAAUAAAACCAUUGUCGUGCUCCAAAAAUAUAUAAGUGAAGCACUAGAGCAAAAUUGCAUAGCUCAAAAGAUAUAAGUGAAGCACAUAGAGUAUUCUAAUAAAUCAUGAUUCAUGCGUGUCUCUCUCAAAAGGUGUGUACAGAAAGGAUGAUUGUGGUAAACUAAAAAGCAAAGACUCAAAUCAUACAAGACGCUCCAAGCAAAACACAUAUUGUGUGGUGAAUAAAAAUAUAGCCUCAAGUAAAGUUACCGAUAGACAAAGACGAAAGAGGGGAUGCCUUCCGGGGCAUCCCCAAGCAUAGGCUCUUGCACUACAAAAAAGACACAUCUGUGACAUUUUGGGCCGAACGAAAAAAAAUUAUGUCAUACUUAUGACACUUCUAUGAUGAUAAUUGUGACAAAACCCAGUAUCAUCAUAGAUGUGGUGGGCUCCUACUUCUAUGACAAAAAAUCAUGACAAAAAAUGGGCUUUUCAUCUUGGGCAGGUCGGAGACGCAGCUGCAUGACAUUCUUUGGGCCGUCCAUGACGGAAAAACCCGUGGUAGAAGCGAGGGCGAGGAAAAUAUCGGGGUGUUCCCGGUUAUGGUGGGUGGUCGGGGUCGAGCGAUGCACGGAGGUAUGCGCGUUUCCCUCAUACACGCACGCGCGUGGGUGCGAGGCGUUGGGCUCUAACUGAACCCGAGCAAGGCGUUCGCUUACUGAACCCGAGCGAUUGCACUGCAGGCUAUGCGUUACUGAACCGGAGAGAUCGAUUGAUGGCUGUUAACUGAACCCGAUGGAGCGAUUUCUUCGCUACUGCUGCUAACUGAAGCCGAUCGAUGCUGCCUCUAGAUGAACAGUGAGCGUUGCAGGGGGUUUGGAUGAACAGUGAGUGGUGGGGUGGAUGAAUAGGACCCCGUGGUAUUGCCUCUGGAUGAAUAGGACCCCGAUCGAUCGAGCCGGUUGGGGCUGGAUGAACAGGACCUCGUGGAGGGCUGGAUGAACAGUAGUGUAACGCCCCGGAUACAAAUUUCCAUAUUCGUAACUCCAACUCUAGCCUUUUCCGGAGAUGUCAUAUAUUAUUUUCCUCCGUGGUUGGGUUUUUGUCUUUUGUUUUUGCAUUUUGUUCAUGUCAUGCAUUUCAUCUCAUGUCAUCAUUCGCAUUGCAUUUGUAUGUUUUCAUAAAACUCGUAACCGUUCGCAGUUGCCCUUUCUUUCUUUGCCUCCGUUGGCAUUUUGUUAGGCCCUUGUCCUCGUUGACCUCCUCGGACCGCUUUGCCUUUGUUGACCUUCUCGCAGACCAUUUGGACCCCUCUCUUCUCUCUUUCUCCGAGACCAACAAAACCCCCCUGACCCCGUGGCCUUUCGGCAGACCCCAUUGUAUUUGUUUCCCCCUCUCUUCUAAAUGCCCACCCUCUCUACACUUUGCUCAGUCCCCGUCGCGCGCGUACAUAAGUUGUCCCAAACCCGACCCGGGUUGUUGUUACCGAUGGGUCCAGAUCAUCCCCAAACAUCUAUAAAACAUCUUCGUUUUUAUUUGGACUUCCCUACCUAUUUAUUCUCGGUCGUUUGAUUUCGACCGGAGGGACUAGGUACCCCUAACCUAAAACACUUGAUAUAUAUAUAGGUCCAACCCUAGGAUCUAGGGAUCAUGUCCCAUCCAUCCCCAUGCCGCCGCCACUCCACAAAAUCCUCGUCGGGAUCUCUUCUUCUCAAUUUCAGCCACCAAGCCAACCAUCGCUCUCCAGCUCCUCCCUGUUCGAUCCCCAGCCACCUCGACCGCGCCUGAGACCAGCAGCUCCACCACCAAGCCGCUCCCUCGCCUGCGCCCCUAUCCCCUGCACCACCUCGCCGGAGCUCCUCUCCAGCAUGCCGCCGGCAAGCAGCAACAGCAACCAGGCCGAACCCGCUCGCUGCUUCUCUUUCCCUUCUUCUCUCGUUCCCUCUGGGUUCCUCUCUCACAUGUUGUCUCUCUUCUCCAUAAAACUUGCAGGAACUCCAUGGCGUCCCUGAGCCAACCAUGGACAGCUACUGCCAGAGCUCGUCUUCCCCGCUCGCGCGUGCCCGCCGCCGGCAAGAGCCCCAGGCCAGUGAGCCAAGCCUCUCCCUUGCCUUCUCCUUUUCUCGUGCUCCCUUUUUCUCUUCCCCCGCGAACCUCCCUUUUGCUCUCUGAACGGCAGCCAUGGAUAGCCCCAGGAGCUCCCUCGCAGCCGCCUGGAUCUGGCGUCUCGCCGAAGAACGCCGUCCUCGCCCAGAUCCAACCGCCCCUACUUCCCGUCGCGCCUCCCCGCCUUGGAUCCGGUCGUCCCCGCGACGUCCCUGCCGCCAUGUCCACGCCACGGCCUCUGCUUCCUCUUCAUCGAGCAGGAGCUCUGCUCGUCCCGCGCGCCUGAAGAUCGAGCAGCUGUGCUCGUUCUCGAGGGCGUUGACUAGGCCCAGUCGCAAGCCUCGCGGCCCAGAUCCGUGCGCCCGCUGCUCUGCUUCCCUCUCGGGCUGUUGGCCCAACGUGAGCAGCUCUCCCCAGCCCAGUCCGCCUCCAGAUGUGGCCCGGAUCAUUAUUUUUUCCGUCUGCGAAUUUGUCUAAUUAUCCAGUGAUUUAUAGAUUUGCAGAAAACCCCUCAUACUUCAUGCAUUUAAUAACUAAAUAACCAUGCAUCAUAUGUAAAAACUUUAUACAUGUAAAAUGCUUAGAAUUUUAUCUAGUUUCAUAAUCUGCUACUUUCAUCUAUGUUUGAAAUGUUUAAAAUGUUGUUUGUUUAAAUUUGCUUAAAUGCCAUGUUAAAAUGAUUUAAUUCAUAACUAAAUAACCGUAGCUCGGUUUUAAAUAAACUUUAUAUGUAAAUGGGGUGGAAAAAUGCCUAGUUUAACAUGGUGGACUUUAUUUUCCUGUUUAACAACAUUAAAAUUGUGUUUGGAGCAGAACAGUACCAAAUUCUAAAUAUGCAUAUGGGGAUUUUCCGGAAUUGUUGUUUGUUGUUCCGACCUCAUUUAAACUUGCCUAGAUAGGUAGUUUUCUUAUGCUUCACCUCUUGCCAUGUUUAACAACAUUUAAUAUUGUUUGGUAGCUUAUACGAGAUUAAACUAAAUAUGUCAAUGUGGUGUUUUGUCAAUAUGCAACUCGUUGCAUAUUGAGCUCCACUUAACUUGUAGUAUUGUUUGUUGCACUUUGCCAUGCCAUGCCUCAUUAAACCGGACAUGCAUCAUAUUUGUUUGUGCAUCAUGCCAUGAUUAUGCUUGUGCAUUUACCAUGUUGUUUGUUUCUUUCUGGUGUUGCUUCUUAGUUCCGGUAAUGUUGCGAUUGUGAGGAUUCGUUCGACUACGUCCAUUCAUCUUCUUCAUGGACUCGUUCUUCUUCCUAGCGGGAUUUCAGGCAAGAUGACCGCUACCCUGGAUCUCACUACUAUCACUGCUUUGCUAGUUGCUUCGUUCUAUCGCUAUGCUGCGCUACCUAUCAAUUGCUCUUCAAGCCUCCCAAAUUGCCAUGUCAGCCUCUAACCUUUGACACCCUUCCUAGCAAACCGUUGCUUGGCUAUGUUACCGCUUUGCUCAGCCCCUCUUAUAGCGUUGUUAGUUGCAGGUGAAGUUGAAGAUU